GAGAGAGAGAGAGAGAGAGAGAGGUGGUGCAUGAUGCAUGGAUUGUUGUGGGUUGACAUUGAGAAGGCUCACGUUUUCAUGCUGCGGGGGACCUCAAUAUUCGUGCCAGCAAAAUGGGGGAGCCAUAUGCAUAGAGAGAUAGAGGUGUAAAUACACUUGCAUGGACCCAAAGCCACGUAAAUAACAAAAUUAAUUAAACAAAGUUUUAAUUUCACCAGGACUCGUGCUUGAUAUAUAUAUAAUCCUCUGAUCAUGCAUAUAUUGAGGUCAUAAAUAUAUAUAUAUAUAUAUAUAUAUAUAGGGAUGUGGAGCCACACGUUGGAGUAGGAGUUAUAGUAAUUAAUUUGCUUGACCUUAGUUAAUCACAACACAACAUCUUUGGAAUUGGGGUUUUAAAAAAUAUAUAUAUUUAUAUACAUGAGUUAUGAUUUUUUGAGGUUUGGAUUUUGAUUCCAUUGACUUAAAUGAGUUUUAUUGUGCUUAGUGAUCAUAUUUGACUCUCGCAUUAUGUGUAAUAAUAACAACUUAAUUUCUUAGAGCACACCAUUAAAUUUAUUUUUUUAAUGUAUUAAUGUGAUUUCAAUGGUAUAUAUAUGAAUGAUCUGAUCAUGUAAAUGGAGAUAAUUAUUAGAACGGGUCUGAUCCGGAUCAUUUUACUGAAUCCAAACACAUUACUUAAUUAGCAGUACGUAAUCCAAAUCCGACCCAAACUAUAUAAUUAAUAUCUCAUUGGAGAAAACAAGCAAGGCAAAUGGAUAAAUCUUACUACAACUAGCUAGAGAGAAAAAUACUAAAAUAUAUUUGACACCUAAAAAUGUAUUUGAGUUUUAAACUUUUUUAAUUCAUUUCUUUCAAUUCCACUACUUUUUUAAAUAAGCAAUUCAGAUAAGAUUCAUACUCUUUUACCAUAUAACAGUAACUCCAAUAAAUACAAUGGUGCUACCGACCGUCCCUAGAGCAAGUGGCAAAGGGCUUGGUGGUUGGUACCCAAGACCCAAGUUCGAAUCCUAGUUGAUUCACAUUUCUAGUUAAGUUUAUUUCUAAAUGAAAUGAACGAAAUGGGUAGCGUGCUACCUAUUUCUAAAAAAAAAAAAAUACAAUGGUGAUGAACCAUAAGAUUCGUCAUAGUUUAGGUCUUACAUUUAGUAAUCUUAGUCGAUUUCGGAUCGGUUUAAAUAUUUGUUUUUUUUUUGUAGUAAUUUCAUUCAAUUUUGGAUCGGGUUGGCGGGUUUGCAAGUAAUUGAGACCAACACCCGUAAAAUAUGGUUGGAUGUGUUUUUAAAAUUAGUAGACAAAGACCGACCGUCCCUAGAGCAAGUGGCAAAAGGCUUAGUGAUUGAUAUCCGAGACCCAAGUUCGAAUCCUAGUUGAUUCACAUUUCUAGCUAAGUUUAUUUCUAAAUGAAAUAAAGAAGCGGGUAGCGUGCUAUCUAUCUCUCUCUCUCUCAAAAAAAAAAAAAAAAAAAAAAAAAAAAAAACAGUAGUAGACAAAGAAGAUCAAGUUGGGGCAGAAUUAAGAGCAAGCAGAGAUAUGAUUCUCUAUCUUUCAGUGAGACUGUAGAAAAUAUAUCGUAACCAACUCAUUACGAUGUACUGAACAUUAUUUUAUUACAUAUAGAAGCAAACGAACUAUUUUUGAACAGCAGAAAGUAUAUCCCAUUUAUCGUACAUUCUCAUCGCACAUAACUAAUAUGCCGGCCAUCCCAAACUGAGUCUUAGUGAGAUGCCGCUCACACCGUCACACGCGACGAAAAGUCGGCGAAAGAGAUGCCCAACUACAUAAGAAUUCGGCAAGGUAAGUGGCCUUUUAGAAGCCUAUGAGGUUAUUUUAUGUUAUUAUAAGAAAAUAAUUUUUUUUUUGAAAAAAAAAGAGAAAAAGUAAGUUUAAUUUAUGAACUUAGGUUGGGGUCUCAAUCCAUGCCAAAAUAGUCCACACAUAUAAAUACAUGUGCCAAACUUCGCCCUUUUUUUGUGGAAAGAGACACAACACCUUUUAAAAAUUGGUGUGCCUCUUUUUUUUUUUUUUUUGAGGGUGCAUUGUCAAAUGGAGGCAAUUUAAGGGCCUUAUAAUACUAAACUAAUAUUAUAAAUCUUGAAGAAAUAAAAUCAAGCAUUGUUAAUUAAUCUCUGUCUCCUUUUUUGAGGUUUUUAAUAGCUAUCAAUUUAGAUUUUUAUCCUUUAUUUUCAUUACAUUAAGAGGCUUAUGAACAGUUAAAAAGAAAUUAAGUGUUGUUAUUUCACCAUUCUUUACAGAAAAAAAGGAACCAUUUUGAUGGUGAGACGGUUUAAUCUAUUGUUAUUAUGUACACUAGUGCAGUAAUUCGUGUAAUGCAACCGGUAGAUAAUUAGAAAAAAAAAGAAAACGACGACAAAAAAAAGGAAAUAGCGAUGGAAGAAGCAACGAUAAAGGAUGGGAUAAUUAUCCUGCUGAUGAAGGAAGCUAACAGCCGAAGUAAGUAGGAGAGGAACAGUGCAGUCCAAUGCAGAGGUCUGACUCGAUUCGGUUCAAGCAAAAAAAGAGAAAAAUCCGGCUUGGUUUAAGCAAAGAAAGAAAAAAAAACAUGUAGAGAAUUUGAACCGUUUGGAAGAGCCUAUAUUCAACAAUGAUUGGUUCGGUCCAAAGUGACCGAGCUAGUUCGAAUGGAACAAUCUUACAUUUGGGAUGAAUCAACCAAAAUAACUAAAAUUUGGACCCUGCCAAUGUCAUUAUACCCGGCCUCUUUGAACCCGAUCCAAUAGCCCGGCCCAAUAAAAUGGACUGGAUUGGACCCGACCCUUGAAAAAUCAGAGUGUACUUAAGUUAAAUGGGAGAAAAUUAAAUGUUCCUCGACAUUUGUUAUAUAAUUUAAAAUGACCGCUUUUCUUCAAAAGUUUAAGCCGUCAAAGAACAAUAUUUUUAAUAUUUAUAUUCAAUACUAUAACCUUUUUUUUUUUUUUUACUCUCAUUAUUGGAUAAAUAACAUGUUUUUGAUGCGGAAUAUAUAGAGAAUGGAAAAUACUACUUGUACACUCCAUCCAGGGUGUAUAAGUUACAUCUUAUAUACCCAUCCAAUGGGUGGGGUGUUAACUACCGGUCACAUCAAGUUGCUGGUGAAAAUAUCUCAUCCAUUGGAUAGAUAAGGUGUAAGAUAUACACCCAAAAUAGAAUGCAGGUAUAUGUAACAUUGCUCCUAGAGAUUGGAGAGACAAAAUAAAAAAAAUGGUAGAGACACCACAAGCUAAUAUAAUUCUCAAGAAUAAGUGGCUUAAAAUGGACACCAUGCUCAUAAAUCAGUAAGAAACAAAUCAUGUUCACACCUUAAUAAUUUUGUGACAAAUACAAAAGAACAUGUUAGAACAAUUUCACAAAUUGUGUUAAAUAUAAAAAUGUUUAAAACACUGUUCUCUAACAGUUUAAGCUUUUAGAGUACAACGGUUGUUUCACAUGGUAUCAGAGAAAAAUAUUUAAAACAUUGUUCUCUAACGGCUUAAGCUUUUAGAGUACAACGGUUGUUUCACAAAUUGAAUUAUGUUUCAUACUUACGGAAAGUUUUAGAAAGCAUUAGCAUGUGGUUCAUGGUGGUGACCCAUUUCUUGUGCAAUUCAUAGUUUGGCGCCUUGAGCUCGAUCCUUCCCUUGUUCGUCGUAAUUUCGAUGAAAUAGGAUGCAUCCUUUUCGGUAUGAGGCGUUUCUGACGGGCUCGUGCGCACGUCGUAAAUGAUACCUGCAGUUGUUCAGUAAUCAGAUGAAACUUUGUUUUCGCGAACACGAAAUGGAGGAACUUGUAAUGUAGAAACUUUUGGCUUGCUUUUUGUUUUACUCGAAAAGGCCGUCAACAUGUUGGCCUUCUUGAUCUUCAGAACAAUCUUGCCAUCUUUGUUUAGGAUAGCCGAGACUGAUCGUAAUCGGCAUUUGCCUGAGAAGUACAGCAUGAAUGCAUGAUAUACAUAUUUGUAUGGUCAUGUUGUUUCAUCAAAGGCUUUUGCUAGCAAGAUUUCUAUUAUAGUUACCGUCCGGCGUCGCCACGAGGAUCUCAUCGCCCUUCGCUAGUGAUGCUCUACACCUUCCGAAGUUGAAGUCGAACUCAUCGCAUAAAAAGCUUGGUGCACUCCAUUUUAUCCUCGUGCCGUAACCCGGCCUUCCUCUUAGUGUUUGUGCACCUCUCAAUGCUGAAACAUCCGGAGAGAGUCGUUUUUAGUAAGUCUUACUUAUAGACCUCUUUUAGGCAUUAUGAAGAAGCGUCAUAUGCGUGGCACCUGCUUGGCGCAACUUGAGCUUCUGUAGAGCUGUUUGGAGAAGCAUUAGAUGGUUACGUUGACGCAAAAAGAGAAGCUUUAAAGUACAGCUUCCACUUUUGGUGAUAAAAGAAACUCAUUUCAGCUUAUCGCGACAGCAAAAGCUCUUGACUUUUUGUUCGCCAACUUUUGCUUCUUGAUGUUGCGAAGAUGCUCCAGAAGCUUGGCCAAACAGGCACACGUAGUGUUCGAGGAUAAUGAGAGAAUGAGGAAAAUACAUGUUACUGCUGCAGCAGUGAGUGUAAUGAUGCUGUUCGUGUCGGUGGAAGCCAUGGCAGCAUUUAAAGCAGAAGGCUGUUCCCGCUUUGCUCCGAUGGCUUCUGCUACUCGGCCGCAAUGUGCUGUGACUAGUGCAGCAGCAGAAGCCACAGCUGUUUCUGUCAGAGAAGCCGUUUCGCUCGCUUCGGUAUUCUCUGCUGCUAUAGCUGCAAGUGCUGCAGCAAGUUCUGCAAUAGAUACAGCUGCGUACACCUCGGCUUUCUGCAGCCUCUCCUCCUCUUUUCUUCUUUGCUUCUUUUCCUUCACCCACUUCUUCAGAUUGAUCCCUUUCGAAGGCUUAAUCCGUCGAGAGAUCUGCGAGAAAUACCCUUCUUUUUUUUAGUAACUACUGAUUUAUAAGCUCGACAUUGUGCACAUUUGCUUAUCGCGUUCAUUAAAUGUUCUUGCUUACACAUUUUUUUUGUUGAAAAUAGAUCUUUGUAAUUCUAAUUGUGUAACAGAGCAAACUUUGAUUCAGUGUGUUGUAAAUGAAGUUGAUUAGAGCUAAUCUAUAUAUAACAGCGCGAACUUGUUCUUGCUGUGGCCCUGAGAUGCAUUUGAAGUUGUUAAAAUUUCAAAUCCUAUAUAAAUUGUUGUAUAAGAUUUCAUGACAAACAACAAUGAACAUCAACAAGGAACUAUGAUCAACCGCUCGUUUGUAUUCGCACCGUACCGAUUCCUUACUUAGUCCAUGAUCAUCCUCCGAUUCUGGAUGAAUUGCAUUCUGAAGCCAUAUCCAUGACUGCAGAAACGAAAAAAAAAAAAUUCGUGUCAAUUCAACGGAGCCUAUCAUCGGAGUUCUUGAGUUUUUCAGAUCUCUUUUACUGUCAGAUCGUCGAACUUCCGCUGCUGCAUUGACUUCUCAUCGCCAACGUCGAUCUCCAACCUCUCGUUGCUCUUCUGCAAACUAGCAGAUUCUCAUUGCUUCUAUUUGUUCCAAUGAUAUAUAGUUAUUUCGAUUCAAACGUGUUGGAAAUAAUAAGCAGCGGAAACUUACAAACCGGAUAGCCAACGUAUCCGGGAACCGGAAUCGGAUCGGGUUGCUCAUUUUACAAGCCUUUUUGGAUCGUCNAUUCAAACGUGUUGGAAAUAAUAAGCAGCGGAAACUUACAAACCGGAUAGCCAACGUAUCCGGGAACCGGAAUCGGAUCGGGUUGCUCAUUUUACCCGCCAAUGUGGACACACCAUAUGUCAACAAUACGAAUCGGCACAAUGUGGACUACUUUAUCAGUUCACUCACUGACGAAGAACCUCUCGCAUUACUUUGGAACGCAGCGACCGCCUCUUCUAUCAGUAUCAUCGAACAAUCCUCUACGGUCGGCCGAAAGAUUCGAACUGCAGACGUGCACCGCGCAUUCGAAAGGACACCGAUCGACUCGAAGGAUUCUUUAGUGGCAAUUGUGUGUGUGUGUGUGUGUGUGUUUUUUUUUUUUUUAAUACAAUGAGAAAAAUAAUCAUCACUAUCAAAUAAGAUCCCAAUAAAUAAAAAAAAAAAAAAAAAAAAAAUUACGUGAGUAAAGAGGGCCUUCAUGGUCCUCAUAAAUUAAUCUCAUUAGUGUUGAUGGAGUAUUGCUGCAUCUUUGAAUGGAAUUAAAAGCUAUUCACAUUCAAAAUGUGGAUGCUUUUAUGUAUGAGAGGGAGAUCAUUAAAUUUAUGGUUUAUUUGUGUGUUCAUGGUGUGCAAAUAUUAGGAGAAUAUAACUCAUCUUAAUCAAAUGAGAAUUGUUGGAAUAUAUAUAACUCAUCUUAAUCAUUAAAUUAAUUGUUAUGGUUGGUAUCUUGGUGUGCUAUGCUUGUUAUUGUUGGGAGGAGAUGUUGGGGAGCCACUUUCUUAACACAGCUAGCAAUGGAAUUAGAAAAUUUAAGUGGUUAUUUAUAUGGUGUUAUGGAAUUUUCCCAAGAAUUAAUUCAUGUUAUAUAUAUGGGGAAAAAAAGGUUUAUAAUUUGGGGAAAGUUGACCAGGAAAUAUGCCCUAAUUAUUGGUCAUUAUUAUUAUUCAAUGAUGAAACUGAAAAUAUGUUCCAAGCUUUUUUCUUUCUUUUUUUUUUUUUCUAUUUUUAACUUAUUAACCUGGCAAUAUUUUUUUUUUUUUUUUUGUUUUUGAGAAUAAGAUAGCAUGCUACCUGCCUCAUUCAUCGAUCAUAAUAAAUUUAGCUACAUAUGUGAGGCAACUAGGUCUCUCAAGCAAAGCUGAAAAAUAAUAAUAAUAACAAUAAUAAUAACUUUUUUUGGAAAAUUUUUAUUGUUUGUUCAUUCAAUUGGAUGAUUAUGGCAUCAUAACUUUUGGAAAAUAAUUUUUGGCUCAAUAGGCUUGAUAUAUGGAAAAAUAAUUUGGAGUUAUUGGAGACCAAAAUUUUGAAUUAGAGUUUCAAUAUUUGAAGUUCAUUAGUCGAUUUAAAAACUGUAGAUUUUUUUUGUUUGUCAAAUAUCUAACUUCUGGUUAGCGAGUACAUUUGCGGCAUAACUUUUUGAGAUACCAAUUAUCACAAUGGAUCUAGGUGGGUUAGACUAGUGCUUGAGGGGCCUAAGCUAUAUUUAUACCUAACAGAGAAAUUAGAAACAACUUUUUGUGGGCCUUAACAAUUUGGCUCUUCAUGUGACAGGUACAUAAAAUGUUUGAAAAAUGCUCUCUGUGGACAAUGUAUGUAGGGUGUACAUUUGGCUUUUUAUGCUGAUAGGUGUAACGGUCGAACUCAGUAGCACUAAUAACCGGAUUUAAAUAUUCUGGACCGGUGAUUUUAGUUCUAAUGUGUAUGUUACAAAUAAGCACGUUAGUCUAAUUACAUACAUAGCCGAAGAUUAUCAAACGAUGUGAAUAUUAGCUCACACUUCUGACCAGUGACCAACUCUGAUACCAACUAUAAUGACUCGCCUAUUAACAUUAAUAAUUCGUUAGGCACAAAAUACUUAAAACUUAGUUAUUAGUUUUUGUGUGCCUUUCAUAUGUAAGGACUCAUACUCUUCUAUGCUAUCUGAUAUGAAACUAUUGAGGUACAUAAUAGACACAUGAAAUGCUUGAAAGAUACUACAUGUACACCCUAUGUAUAAAGUGUAAAUAUUACACCCACCCUUAAAAAAAUUAAUUUUUUCUGAAUAUGUAGUAUAAAAAAAGAAGGUUGACGAGAUUAGUGAGUAGAUAAUAGUCUUUGGAUAGUUAGGAUGUAAAAUUUAUACCAUAAUUAUAGGUGUACAUACAGCAUUGCUCAAAAUUCUAAAAAUGUUAUCAAUUUUAUCACCUAAUUAGUUGCGAAACAUGUAUUUUGUUCGAUUGGAAAGUUCAAGGGCGCGCAAUUCACAAUAUCAUGACAACACAGGGAGUAAUGUAGAAACCCUCACAUUAUAUACAAUUCUAUAUAUAUUUAAUAUGACAGUUAUUUUUUGAAAGACACGUAAAAUUGAUAAAACUUAAACUAAGUAGUAUAAACCUUUCAUAUAAUUAUUUAUUCUAAGUCAAAACUCUUGUAGAAAAUAUCCCCUGAAGAGUUGCCAUCUUUAAACAUUAGCUUAUCCUACAUAUCCUAGCUAUGAAUAGUACAACAUGGUUACAAAAAGGAAAACAUACCAAAGUGACCCAUUACCAUCUCCAAAGGCUUAUCAAUUUCAUUGGUCUCACAUGUGUUGUCACAACACAAUCAAUGGAUUAGAAAUGACAUGCACAACAGUUAAAUCAGGUUUAAUAUAAAAUUAAUUGACCCUAUCUUAGCUAUAGAGAGAGAGAGAAAGAGUCCAGCUAUGUUACUUUUAAAAACACAAAGUACUAAGUACUUGUAAGUUUUUCGCCGUUAGAUUUAUCCUUUCGACCGUUUUCAACUGUUGGAUCAUACUAUUCAACCAACCACCUACUCAACCUUAGCGGACCAUUAUCAUCAUAACCAUAUAUCUUUUAAUCUAAGGAAUGAAAACCUACAAGCACCAAUAACUUGGUACUUUUAAAAGCAUAGGAGCUCAAUGACAAGUGCAAUGAUCCAAUUCUAUUCUAUUACAACAUAUAUGCCCAGCUACAAUGACAAGUACAAUGAUCCCAUUCUCUUAUGUUCUUAUUCGAACGGUAUGUUCAAAUCACAUAAGAAUAUUACAUGAUAAUGGAAAAAGGAAAUGAUAUGCCGACAACCAAUGAGGGCUCGUAAUCUUUACAACUCCUCAUUCAACAGCAUUGAAAAUUAAUCCUCUUUAGCUUUUAGUAAAUAAUAAUAAUAAUAAUAAUAAUAAUAAUAAUAAUAAUGUGAACUUGACUUUUAGAUGGGCCAAGUUUUAGAAUUACAAUCCAUAAAGGAUUGUAGAUCUAACACCCCUCAAUUUAAAAAAAAGGGUAUUUUUCAAUUUGGCCUCCUAUAAUUUCAAAUUUUGUUAUAUCAUCCUACAUUUCAAAAAGCUACACUAAAUUUUUCAUAAUUUUAUUUUUGUUUCAUGCUAAAUAUCUAUCAUUAAAUAGAGCUAACUAGGAUAAUAAAAUGAUACUUUUUAAAAAUCACAUAGAAGUACAAUGUAAUAUUUUUCUAUUCUAUAAUCUAUAUUUUAUACAUUGUUGUUUGCAGGAUGUGUCACUUUAUUAUCCUAUUUAACUAUGUUUAUUAGGAUGAUAUAAAAAUAAAAUCAUAAAAUAAUUAAGUAUAAUUUUUUAAAUCACAUAAUGACAAAAAAAAAAAAAUGUGUUGAUUUCCGGAGGGCAAAUUAAAGUUUACCCCAAAAAGAAAAGAACUCACAUUAUGGUAAGUAAUUAAUAGCUUUUGAAAGAAACCACUUGCACACCUGCUUAUAGGUAUAAAAUAGUAAUAUUCGGAUGAAUCUUGUCGAAGAUUUACGUUGGCUAUUUAUUAUUGGCUAAAAUAUGUCCAACUUACUGUCCUGUGAUAUUAGGCCUAAGAAAAUUAAUAACUUAAGCGGAUAAGUCCAAUAAAUUAAGUAAUACUACAAUCCAAACUUAAUUAACAAUAAAAGAUCUAACAAUAAAUCUAACGUCCAUAUAUAUUGUCAUGUCGAAGUCCGUAAACACGCUAGUUGAUCCUUUCUGUGUGAUGAGUACGGCCUUCCUAUCACCAUAUAUAUAUAUAUAUAUAGAGUUGAGCUGGAAUGCUAUCGGUAGCAAACGAGUUCCGUUGCCACCCAUUUGUUUUCGAUGAUGGAGCUUUCAAAUUGACGAUCGGCACCGUUGAACAUGAUCUAUAUCACUUGAAGUAUCUAGAAAUCAAAUUUCAAAUCUUUUCGACAUCAUUUACCUAAUGAUCAAAGGAUUUCAAAAUUAGUAAUUUUAAUGGUUGAUAUGAGGGAUUUUCUCGUUUAACGGUGUAAAGCUAUCCAAAUCAAUUGAAUUUUGGUUAGAAAAUUCUUUAAACUAUUUAGAAUAAGAUCUAUACUCUUGAUCAAGAUUACAAAAUUUUUAUCAUCAUUUUUCAGAGAAUAUUCAUUUUCAGCCAUUCAUUUUUAUGCCCACUUGAUGGACAAGAAAACAAUAUGGGAAAAGUAUGAAAUUUGAUUUCUAGAUACUUCAAGUGGUAUAGAUCAUUUUCAACGGUGCCGAUCGUCGAUUUGGAGGCUCCAUCAUCGAAAACAAAUGGGUGGCAACGGAGCCCGUUUGCUACUAAUAGUAUUCCAGCUCAACUCUAUAUAUAUAUAUAUAUAUAUAUAUAUAUAUAUAUAUUGGAAUAGUUGUUUAACGCUUACAUUCACAAUUUACACCUUUAAAUGUGUACACAGGUGGCAUUGCUCAUAGCAUUUUUUUUUUAUAAUUUAGAUUAAUUACUAAAAAAAGUACCUAGAAAGUGACAUCACAAGUGACCAUGUACUACAUUCAUGUCAAUUUUUCAUUUGAUAGCGUUGCAGACAUACCCAUUUGAAACAGAACAAUCAAACAGUAUUAUGAUAAUUUAAAGUGUAUCAUCACAGAAUAAUGUGUCAAAUUAAUAAGAUACAACUAAAUGCACUUUGCCCUUUUACAAAGAGAGUAAUUAAAAUAUAUAGUUUUGUGUUAAUUUUAAAACAAUUCUGUAUCAUGUGAACUACUUGAUGGGUGGGAAAAAUAUUUAUAAAAAUAGUUGAGCUAUGUGUUACCUCUUUUAAGUGAUGCGAUUAACAAAUAAUGCAACGAAAGUAUAAAUUAAUUUUUAUUAAUUAAAUAUUAUUGAUAAGUCAGUAUUUUUAUAUAAUUUUUGAAUUGAAAAAUAGUUUUAAAAUCCCGCCUACAUACUGACACAUUAUAAUACGACUCAUCAGUGGUGUAUAAAGAGUACAAAAUGUCGCUUGGGGUUUUCUUAGUUUGGAGAGAGACACAUAUCAAAAAUGGUAUAAUUAAUGUUGUUAUCAACCCACAAUUUUUCACAAGCAUGCUUUGCAUAUAUGGAAAACUAUUAUGGCACUUUGAAAAAUGCCUGUAUAUGUUAACCAAUUAAAAGAUUUUUCCUAUCAUAAUGGAGCCAAUAUUGAAAAAAAUUGUAACAUAAAUUCCAUAUACGCAGGGAAAUGCUUUGCACUCCCCCACAGUGUUGUUCCUAUAAGGUUUUAAUGUAUUAGCACAACAAUAUGACACUUUAAGGACCGUCCCUAGCGCAAGUGGUAAAGGGCAUGGUGAUUGAUAUCCGAGACUCAAGUUCGAAUCCUAAUUGAUUCACAUUUUUAGCUAAGUUUAUUUCUAAAUGAAAUAAACGAAACGGAUAGCGUGCUAUCUAUCUCUCUCAACAAAAAAAAAAAGGCUUCACAUAAUAGACGCCGUUGCAUCAAUUGCAUUAAUAACACAUAAAGAUAAUAUAACGAGGCGCUUAUAGUAGUGUUCUUUUGUGUAUGUAUUGACACAAAAGUAUGACACUUUUAGGUGUAUGUUCAUGAAUCAAUCAAAACUCUUCAUAUUAUAAAUGCCAAUGUAUCAAUUCUAUCAAUGAUAUAUAAGAACAAUAUUAUAAGAUACCUGUAGUGGUACUCUUUUUUUUUUGUGAAUAAAUCAAACUCUAAAGCCAUGUUAUUGGAAGCCGGAAUAAGUUAUCAAAAAACAAUAUAUUUUACAUGAGUUGAGCUGCAAUGCUAUCGGUAGCAAACGGGCUCCGUUGCCACCUAUUUGUUUUCGAUGAUGCAGCUUUCAAAUCGACGAUCGGCAUCGUUGAAUAUGAUCUAUAUCACUUGAAGUAUUUAGAAAUUAAAAUUCAAAUCUUUUCGACAUUAUUUACCUAAUGAUCAAAGGGUUUCAAAAUUAGUAAUUUUAAUGGUUGAUAUGAGGGGUUUUCUUAUUUAACUGUGUAAAACUAUCCAAAUCAAUUGAAUUUUGGUUAGAAAAUUCUUUAAACUAUUUAGAACAAGAUCUAUACUCUCGAUCAUGAUUACAAAAUUUAUAUCAUCACUUUUUAGAGGAUAUUCAUUUUCAGCCAUUCAUUUUUACGCCCACUUGAUGGACAAGAAAACAAUAUCGGAAAAAUAUGAAAUUUGAUUUCGAGAUACUUCAAGUGAUAUAGAUCAUUUUCAACGGUGCCGAUCGUCGAUUUGGAGGCUCCAUCAUCGAAAACAAAUGGGUGGCAACGGAGUCCGUUUGCUACCGAUAGUAUUCCAGCUCAACUCUAUUUUACAUAUAAAAUAAUUUAUUUAAUCUAAAAAAUUGACUUGAAGUCUGAAUAGAAUAUUCAUUUCUAGACAUUUGAGUUUUGAGCACACUCACUCCUCAUAUGUCAAAUUAAUACUCAAGAAAACUUUAGUUUUCUUUUUUUUUUCUUUUUUUUUUUUAAAGAGGCACCUUCCUACAAUUGACAACUUACUCAAAAGAGGCUGCUCUGGGAAUCAACAGUGCGUGAUGUGCGGUAACGAUUUAGAGACUGUUGAUCACCUGCUAGUUGGAUGCAUAAUCAGCAGAUUUUUCAUGUACAAUAUCCUAGAAGAUAGGCACAUUCCAGGGCCGGGGAUGGAGGUCAGGAGUGUUUGGGAGCUUCUGGCUGGGAACCGCCGCCAAGGGGCAGCUGCGAGGGAUCUAAUCAGAAUCGUAACCUGUUGGUGCAUGAUCUGACGGAAAAGAAAUAAUAUUAUUUUUAGGAGCCAAUCAUUUGACACUUUUUUGACUAUUAGACGGAUACGGGACAUGAGUAGAGAAUGGACUGAGUUUUGCAGCUCUUAGUGCCUUGAUUUUGAGUAAGGAGUACAAGUAUCAAUUUUCUGUAAUUUUUUUAUUUUAGUUUCUAUUUGGUUUUUUUUGUUUUGGUUGCCUUCUAUGUUUUCUGAGGCUGCGUUGCCUCUAAAUUCAUUUGCUAAAUGAAUGAAGCAGGUAGAGUGCUACCUUUCUCUCGCAAAAAAAAAAAAAAAAAACUUUAGUUUUUCUAAUUAACACAAAAGAAUCUUCAUGCUGAAUAUAUCGUCAUUCGAAUAUUUUGUCCCGACAUCCAAAACAGAGUCUCAAGCAAAAACUCUUUUAAAAGUUUAUAAAUCACAUUUCUCGUCGAAUCUGCAAAAGUGAAAAAAGUUGGAUGACAAAAAAGAAACAUGGCUGAAAGUUUGGAGGCUAGUGCUGGAGGAGGAGGAGGAGGAGGAGGAGCUUAUCCCGUACACAAAUGUAUGGAGAGAAUUCAACAAUGGAUCACAAUAGUUAGGUGGACUGUACGUAGGAGCAGUUGUUUCCACGAAGAGGAUUGGACGUGACAUGAAGGGAUAUGUGAACAAUGGUUGCUUUGGAUGGAGAUGGGAUUGACACGUCGUUGAAUCAUCCAUGCAUUGCAUAGUGUGAUUUGAUUUGCCCUUCCUCUAAUAACGAUCGUCUACAUACGCAUGGUACUGUAUUAACUAGAAGAGAACUAUCAAUUAUGUAGACAACUCGUGCGCUCUAACAACCUUCAAUGUUUCCUCACAUGAUAGGUUUUUCUUUUUUUCUUUUUUCUUUUUUUUUUUUGUUACAAUUAUGUGACAUAAGAUGUAUCUUGAAGAAAUUUUCUUGUUUGAUAUAUAUAUAUAUAUAUAUAUAUAUAUAUAUAUAUAUAUAUAGAGAGAGAGAGAGAGAGAGAGAGAGAGAGAGAGAGAGAGAGAGAGAGAGAAAGUCUUGUGUGCUAUUAGAAGCACAGAGACUUUCGUGUUCCUAAACUGCUUUCGAUGAUGGAACUUUCAAAUCGACGAUCAACUUCUUUAGACUUGAUCUAGCAUAUUUGAAGUGUCUAAAAAAUAAAUUUUACGAUUUUUCGAUAUCAUUUACCUAGCGAUCGAAAGGGCUCAAAAUCAAAAAAUUUUAAUGAUUGAUAAAUAUCGUUUGCUAGUUUAACAUUGCUAGUUUAACAGUGUAGAAAUAUUCAAAUCAGAUGAAAUUUUGAUAGAAAUUUUAUUUUUACUAUUUACUGCAAGAUCAAAAUCUUUGAUCGAAAAUUUUAAUACUUCAAAUAUGAUAGAUAAAUAAAUGAUAUCGAAAAAUCAUAAAAUUUAUUUUCUAUCGCUAAAUAAAUGAUAUCGAAAAAUCAUAAAAUUUAUUUUCUAAAUACUUCAAAUAUGGUAGAUUAAAUCUAACAGAGCCGGUCGUCGAUUUGAAAGUUUAUCAUCGAAAAUGGCUUAGGAGCACGAAGACCUCCAUAGCUCCGUGCUCCGAAUAGCACGCUAGACCCCUCUCUCUCUCUCUCUCUCUCUCUCUCUCUAUAUAUAUAUAUAUAUAAUAGUAGUUUUUUAAUAUUGAAUGCAGUUAAUUAUGUGAAACAACUUUUACUCUUCAAAAGUUUUAAACUAUCAUAAAACGGUAUUUUAAUAUUUUAUGUUAGAUAAAUGUUGUUAUUUCCUAGUGUAAUAACUGCAAUAAAGGGGGGAUCUUCAACCCACUCGAAAGUAUAUGUAUAUGUUUUGCCUCGCUUGUAUUUUUGAUUUGGGUGAAAAGUUGCUCCAGUAAAGUGUUUGCAAAAGCCAAAAAAAAAGAGAAAAAAAAAAAAAAACAGACGAUUCAGCUGUAAUAGGAAGUAGAAAUAAUACUCUUUAAGGUAUAAUUUUAAAGUGAAAAAUCAAACCCCCCAUUUUUCAUAUUUCUAAAGGAUUGAAAAUUUUGAUAAGUAUUUUAUGAGCUUUUACAUUCCUAUACUAUAGCAUGGUAGGUGGCUGCAUCAAGCCAUCAAAGAAGCAUCCAAUAUUCUGAAGGAAGCUGGAGCAUAAGUCGGAUGCUUACUCAAUUCUUCAAAGCCUCUAAAACAUAUCUUAGAUGCAAGCAAGCAACAUCAACCUCCCAAACUAGCCCUAACAUUACAACAAAUCUUACACUUUAAAAAUACUUUAAAUAAUAACUAGCGACGCUUUAAAACGCCCGCAAGAAAAACCCCGACACUAAUAAAAGUGUCGAGCAAAAAAUCGUUAAGUAAAUAUGUUAGGAUAAAUAUACCGAUGCUUUAAUAUAGCGUCAAAAAUUUUUUAUCAGUAUUUGAUAAAAAUAUGUUUAUCGAUGGCGUGUAAAUAUGACGUCGGCACAUGCCAAAUAUUGAAGAUGGUAGAAUAGAGCGUCGUCUCCGUCUAAAAGAUAUUUUGUUGUAGUGUGAGCAGCAUUUUGACAUUUUUGAUUCGCUAUAAACAUAAUCUACUGUUUCUUCUGGACCAAAAAGCACUACUCAAACAACAUCUCAUCAAACAUCAAUGGUUAAUUAGGGUUUUAAAGUGGGACGCAAAUUAAGUUCCUAAGAAGCUCCAGUAGUCCAUGUUGGCUAUUUAUUUAUUAUUAGGCUAAAAUGAUUCAAUUUUUUACUCCAUGCCAAUAGGACUAAGAAAGUAAUAAGUUGAGUUGGAUGAGCCUACUGCGAUUCACAAAAAAUCUAACGGCAAGUGACCCAACAAUAAACCUAACAUUCAGAUAGGUUAAGUCAGAUCGAAAUUCGUAAAUAUUGUAGUUGAGCAUUAAGUGCGGAGGAUACGUCCUAUCGACACGUGUUUUUAAAAUAAUUGGUUAAUACUAACAAUCUACAGUCCUGCAGUAGGUCAUUUGUCAUGUGAAGAAAUAAGCAAUCUCACACGCAAUUAUUUCCCCCCAUUUUCUAAUAUUUCUUUCUGAGAAGAGAGAAGAUGAAUCAUGGUCAAUGUUCUCUCUCCAUACCACACCAAUAAUUGGUUUCUCUAACAAAGUUACUGUUUGAGUUGAAACCUAGUCCUAUGCCUCUUAUUAGUGAGUACUCUCUCUCUCUCUCUCUCUCUCUCUCUCUCUCUCUCUCUCUCUCUCUCUCUCUCUCUCUCUCUCUCUCCCCCACCCCUCUAGAAUGAGUCAUUCCUAGGGCUUAAAGCCCGUGGGUCCCACGGGGGUGCACGUGCAGGAGAUUUAAUGCACUCCCACGGGGAGAUUGGGACGUGCAUGUGCGCCUUGUCUCGGUGAUCUUACUGAUCGAACGCGAAUGACACACCAAAGCUACAGUAGUUGUGGCCCUCUUGGACUAACUUAGAUACAUUAACAUGUAGGGCCUACUCCCCAUUCAUCUCCCCAUUCAUCACGAUUCAUUCUCUCUCUCUCUCUCUCUCUCUCUCUCUCUCUCUCUCUCCUGCGCACACACAAAAUGCUAUUUUAUAAGACUCUAUUUGAUUCAGAUUAAGUAAAAAUUAUUUAUUUUAGAGAUGAAUAUAAAACUUAGAUAUAAGCAAACACUAGCUAAUUUUAUAUUUGGAUGAAAAUUGAAUUGUUUCUAAAAAUAAGAUAAAUAGUAUUUGAAAUCUUCGAUAGUUAAAUUGGAUAAAAAAGAAUAAGAUUUAUAAUUUUAAAUUAAAAUUAUUUUAUCUUAUUAACUAACAUCAAAAUAUUACUUAAACAAUAAUUUAUUAAUUUAAUAAAUUAAUGAAUUUAUUAGCUAUGAAUAUUGUAUAAAAUAAUAAAUAUAUAUUAAUUAAUUAAAUAAAUAUAAAAAAAUAAUUUAACUUUUUAACUAGUUAGUAAAUUAUUUUAGUUCGAUAACUAGUAAAAAAAAUUAAUUAGAUUAAUAAAAAUAUUAACGGCUGAUCACUAUAACUAUUAGCUUAAAUAUAAACAUAUUAAAUUAUUAAUAAUUAAUUAGCUAAUUAAUUAUUAAUUAUAAAUAAUAAAUUAAUUAAUUACUUUAUUAUUUAAGCCAUGGAUAAUAAUUUAAAUAUAUUAAUUAAAUUAGCUAAUAAUUUAAUAUCAUAAUAAUUAAAAUUAAAUUUAAGUUUUAAUUAAUGUUAUUCCCACUUGAGAACGAGCUUAGUUUCAAAAAAGAGAAGGAACAGCAGUUCUAGUUUUAUACCAACUUAUUUCAGAAAUCUUAGUCUCGCAUGCGAAAAUUUUCGUCUGGAAACAAAGAGGGGAACAAGGACUUAUUCUUCUCUUGUUUCCGACCUAAACACUGCCUAAUAAGAGUGCAGUAUCUCCAACAUUCUAUAAAUGGAACAAUCUCACCGCUCAUUAAUUAACAUUGCCUGUACUAAAUAAUCCUACUCCGAUCUAGUGAGUGACAAUUCAGACUAUCCGGCGUGCAGAAUCCUCCUACACAUUAUAGAGUCACACCAAAUAUGCACCCCUACUUUGUAGGACUAAAUAUAUUCAAUCAAACUUUAUAAUUGCUUAAAACCUUAGCUGUUUCGCUACAUUUACUGGCCAAUGUGUAUCACACUAUUAAAAAUUUGGUUCAAGUUACUAGAUAAUGGCGAAAACAACAAUGCACAUAGGCCUUAGCUCAUUUUAUAAUAAUAAUAAUAUUUAGAGAAAUAAUAUUUAGAGAGAAAUGACUCGAUACUUUAUUUUAUAAAAAAAUAAAAAAAAAUCUUAACCGUCGAUCAAUGAAGGAUAAAGAUGUAAUAGUAAGAGACAAUUAAUACAAACCUUGUUCUAACAGGAUUUGUUUUGUCGGUCUUUAUGAAAGCGGUGUCUCAGAGAUAACCCAUGUUCAUAUCCACCAUUCUCUUCACCUGAAUGUAGGGGUGGAAACGAGCCGAGCUCGAGCGAGCUUAUGUCAGCUCAAAUUCGGCUUGAAAUUAAUUUCGAGCCUAAAUCUAGGCUCAAGCUCGGCUUGAAAUUAAUUCGAGCCGAGCUCGAGCGAGCCUAAUUUCGAGUUGAGCCGAGCUCGAGCUCUAAACGAGCCGAUUGAAAUUCUCGACAUUAUAUAAUCAAUAGUUUAAUUUUUAUAGAACAUUACCUACAGUUUGAUACAACAUGUCCAAUAGUUCAAAAUACAAAAUAAUUAUAAAAAAUGUGAGCUAGGAUAACUUCCUGACUAGAUGAGGAUCUGAGAGAGAGAGAGAGAGAGAGAGAGAGAGAGAGGGGAAAAAAAGGAGGGAUUUGGAAAUUUAAAUAUUAUCAUGUUUUAGGAUUAUGUGCAACAGUGAAAGUCUGAAAGAGAAAGUGUGUUAUGUAAAUUUAGAGUUGGGCUCAAUUGUACGAUUGUACUUGUUGGGUUUAUUUUAUGGGCCAUAUAAUAGCCCAAAUUAAAUUAAAAGCCUAUAUUAAUUAAUAUAUAUAUAUAUAUAUAUAUAUAUAUAUAUAUAUAUAUUAUAUAUAUUAUAUAUUAUAUAUAUAUAUAUAUAUGAGUCCUGCUGCUAUACUUUUAUGAGUAUUGGCUCCUUUAUACUCAUAAGUUUCGACCCUUAGAUUUAUUCCAUUAAUCAUUUUCAUCCGUUAGAUUUCAUACUAUUUAACCAACUACCCACUCAACCAUAGGGGACCACUAUCAUUCUAAGUUGGGACCACUAUCAUCCUAACCACACAUCCCAUCAAUCAACGGUUAAAACUUUAUGAGUACAAGGAGGUCUAUACUCAUAAGAGUAUAGUAGUCCCAGCCUAUAUAUAUAUAUAUAUAUAUAUAUAUAUAUUAGAGCUUUUCGAGUUUUUCGAGCCUAAUUCGAACGAGCCGAGUAAUACUCAAGCUCGGCUUGAAAUGAAUUUCGAGCCUUUUAUUUUGUUCAAGCUCGGCUCAUUUAAUUUCGAGUCGAGCUCGAGCGAGCCGAAUAUCGAGCCGAACACGAGUCGAACGCGAGCCGGCUCGCUCGUUUGCCAGCCCUACCUGAAUGUGUGAGGCCUAUAGUUGGUCGCAAUCGACCUUCCAAAACCAAGAUGAACCUCUUUUUAAAGAAAAAAAUAAUAAUAAUUAAGAGUCAGGAACUUGACCCUCUACUACGCUUAUACCCGGAUCUCUCAAGCAGGUUAGGUCGAGUAAAUUGUGCAUUUUACAUGCAGACAAUAAGAAAGAAUUAGCUAUUCUAAUCACGCAAAAGUAUUUUUGAACAAGAAGAAGAGCACAUUCGGUCGAAGAUAAAAGUAAUCAACAAUAGAUAAAGAUGAGUGAAUUAGAAUGGUCAUAAUAUUUUAGCCAACUAUACAAACCCAAUGAUGGAGAGCAAGUCAAAGAAGCGUUUUAAUCACUGCAACCAGUGAUAAUAUUUUCCAUCAAAAAUUAAUGAUGAGGCAAACAAGUUUAAUUUAGAGCAAAUUCAGCACAUUAACAGUGAAUUAGAUGGGGAUUUAGGAUUCAUGAGAUAGAAACAAAUUAAAAACUAAGACAAGUUAAUGAGCAGGUACAUAGGACAUGAAAAAUCAUUGCUCUAUUAUAAACAAAUAGAUCUAUAUGUCGCAUCACAUGCCAUAACUUUAGAAGGUACAUGGAAAACAAUCUUCAGCAAAUGUUAAAAUUUUCAAUGAGAAAAAUUUACACAACUCUUUUUAUCCGCUUUGAAAGGUUUUAUAUAGAUAAAGAGCUGUUAUAUCAAUGUACUGUUUCCAAUUUAUUGAAGUGUUUUUUCGAAUAAACAAACGUCACGUUUACUUGUACCUUCUACAAGUUUAAUAUAAUAAACACAACAGUCACAAGCACAUGGAAUAAAAGAUUUUUUUUUUUUUUCUCUCUUUUGAAAGAGAAAGUUACCAUGGUACAUACUUCGUUUUCGCUUAAUGUACGCAUCGAAAAGUCAAAGGCAUUCAUAUUGUGUUUAGAAGUUUUGAUCUUGUGUCACAUAGAUUCCUUUUCGGAGGUGCUAGAAAAUAAAUACAAUNACAUCCUUUUCAGUUCCCUAUCUAAGUUCCCUGGGUGGCUUAAUUUACCAAGUUUGAAUCGUCAGUAUUCACUUAGCUAUCCACUGAUAAUUGGUUUGAAAGGGUAAAGAAGGAUGUUUAAAUAUAAUUAUACAAAUAAGAUGAUAUUCAAUAUAUAUAUAUAAUAUAGAAUUAUACUACUAUACUAUCGAUAGUACCAAAUGCUUGAUGUUAUCGAGAUUUCGACCGUUGAAUAAAAGAAUAUACAGUUAGGAUGAUAGUUGUCCCCUAGAGUUGAGGGGAUGGUUGGUUGAAUAGUAUAAAUUAACAGAUGGAAAUGAUCAAAGGGUAGAUCUAACGGUAGAAAACUCGAUAGUACCAAGAGCUUGGUACUAUCGAUAGUAUAGUACCCGAACUCUCUCUCGCUCUAUAUAUAUAUAUAAAAGAAGGAUGUUUAAAUAUAAUUAUACAAAUAAGAUGAUAUUCAACCUAGAGUCCAGCACCAAGCACUUGGUACAAAUAAGAUGAUAUUCAACCUAGUUCUAUAUAUAUAUAUAUAUAUAUAUCUGACUUAACAACAAGUGGUCCAUGAAAGCACCAAGUAUACCCACCACAGCAUUUCCACCUUAGCCUACAAGUUUAGAUGCUAGUUUUUGCCGCAUGCCCAAGUGAAAUAACUUACGACUUUAUGCCUAUAAAUACCUAUAUAUCACCUUUCUCUACCAUCUCUCUCAUUCACUACUCUUUCAUGUUUAGUAGGGAAUUGGAGAUGAGGCGACGGCCUUCAGUUUCAGUGCGGAGAAUUCAAGCAAUGGUUCUUGCAAAGAAGAAGAAACCUUUCGAACUGCUGGUGCAAAGGAAACUUCAGGAGCUCAAGAAGAUCAUCCCCAAGAACAACGACAAUGGUGUAGAGGCAUUACUUCGCACGACUGCGGAGUAUAUAUGCUUCCUAGAGUUGAAAGUGACAGUUCUCAGGGAUCUCGCCAACCUCUAUGGUGUGUAACACUUACUUUCUUUAGGGUGUUGUGUGUGUGUAUGUGUCAGAGAGAGAGAGAGAGAGAGAGAGAGAGAGAGAAGAGAAGACAUUUCUUUCUGCUCUCUUAUGUUCAACCUAAUGUGUUGUAGUAUUAUGUUUUACUAGGCAUUGGAGAGAGUUAUACUAUUCUCUUUCCACUUCUAUGAUUAGUAUGGCCUUAGAAAAUUUGGAAUCAAUCUCAAUUGUAAGCCUUAUGAAGCACUUGCCUGGUUAAGUGUAAAGUGAUAUGUAACUUCAAACAAGUUCUACUCUAUCAAUAUGAUCUUCUCUUUUCAUUUUUUUAGUUUUGGUAUUAAUUAAGGUGUACUAUGCGGCUAACAAGAAAUUCUCUAAUCACUUCAUUAAAACAAGAGAGGUAGGAUAUUUCUUCUACUAUAUCAAUAACAAGGAUUUUCGUACCACAGUAUGAAGCGUGCCGACACACGCACCUCAUCAGACCCUCCUUCAUAUGCAACACGGUUGACAGGGGUUGAUUGGAGCAGUCCGACCGUUACGGAAAGCCUAGAUCCUAGAUCACUAUUGCUGCAUUGGGCACCAUAAUUUGGUAUGCAAGUUGGUAAACAACUAUUUCCUACAUAUUGUAAAAUGCAAAAGAAAAUUAGAACCCUGAUGAGAAUAUUUUUCUCUUUUUUAUUGUUUUGUGGAUAAAUGAGUGCCUCUAAACUCCUAUAAACCAAACAAGAAAUACUAGAGAAGAAAUGCUAAGUUUGCAACCCAAAAUGAGUUGUAAUCUUACAACUAUUAAAAACCAAAAAGACGUUAGUAAACCCUAGGCAUCCUUGGAUGCAAGGUCGUAAGAUUACAACCAUUCUUGGGUUGUAAAAUUAGCAUUUUUCUAAAUGAAAAGAUGGGUUGGACAAGUACAAGAUUAGAUACAAAAUUAUAUCAGACACUAACGAAGUAAUUAUCAAUCAGUCAGAAGUCACUAUUGUAACAGAGAAAUAUUCUUAAGCAAAGUUGACUUGUACUUGGGGAGCAAACCUCUGCAUCCUCUGUGAUAUUCUGACAAUCCACCUAUAGUCCAAGUUCGAAUUUUCCGCAGCCCCCUGCAUAAAGAAUUCUUGCUGGCAGAAUGAUUCAGCCCCACACACCAAUGGAGGGAUGAAUCUGAGCCAUCCACCUGCAUACAGGGUUAUAGAGAAUGUUCUCCUAAGUCCAUCUAAAGCACUGGUUAUUUGUUUGAUAUUAUCAAAAAAUAGAGAUGAUAUCUCCUUUUCAAAAGAGACUGAUAGAUCGUCAUUAUAUUAGUAAUGUGAAAAUCUUUUCUAUUCAUAAGGCCGCUAAAAAUUUGCUCUUGUAUACUUUCUAGGCGGUAUUUUACCUUUUAACUAUCUUACACGAUGCAGUAGAUUCUUUUCAGCAAUAUCUCAAUUUACUCUACAUUUUACAUAAAGAAAGACGCUUUUCAUAUUUAGACCAUUUAGAUUAACUUCUAUACUGUAAAUUUUAGAUUAACUUAUUUACUGUAAAUUGACUCAACAAUAGUACAGUAUUUGAGAUUUGUCGAUAUAAGAGUAGUGUUACAACUUAGCUCUAGACCUUAUAUUAAGUUCAGUGAUUUAACAGGUGAGAUGGGUUUACGCGUAAAAUAAUAUGUAGUGACCAACUUCCUUGUCACUUGUCAUUGACGCGAAAGCUUAUAACAUAACUACUAAAUUAAGGUAUGAAAUUGAACAAGAAAACUAAAUUAAAGUAUGAAACAGAACAAAAGUACUUCAUUGAAGAAUGAAAUUGAACAAUACUACUAAAUUUAAGUAUGAUAGCGAAUGAUUAGGGUUAGAAUGUUAUGUGAAGUUAUGAUGACAAACCUGUAAAAUAUAUUACAUGUCAUAAUGCCAAUACUGCAUUUAUAUUAUGGUCCACCAUCUUCUUAUGAUUCUAAGAUUCUGUACUAACUACUACAUGGUUUCACAAAUCUAGGAUAAGUAAUAUAUCAAAAGGCACUACAAGUGGAACGGUCGCUUAUUUUGAUAUACAAGGGCUUAAACCCCAUUACACUUCACAAAUAGAUAGUUGAAUAGUUGCUUGGGGAUGGGAGAUACAUCCAAAGGAACCCACCUUACAUCAUGGGAAGCCACAUGGUAUCCUUUCAAAAACACUAGAACAAAACAAAUCUCUACCUAUGGGCACUAAACCUAUGUUAAUAAAGCAAAACGAAUAAAAAAAGGGAUACUUUUUGCUCAAGUUUGACAACUCUUACGAAAGAACCCUGAAUUUAGGGCACACCUCAACAUAUAAUGUUAAGGUCCCCAAUACACUAAUCAUAGUUAGUCCAUGCCUUUUUAAUAACACAUGGAGCCCAUGCAUGUGUGGCCAUCUAUAUGGUGUAUGCAUGAUUUAGCUUGUGGCCAAGCGCCAUAAUAGGAGCAUGUGAUUAGUACAUCCUAGGCUACUCUCUACAUUAGACUUUCUAAUUGUACAGGUAUUGGUAUUUGUGGUCCUCAAUUUAGUGAAUACAUGCAUACUUGUUUUGAAGUAGGCUAGUAAAUGAUGAUCAAUUAUGGAACUGGUUCUACAAUUUACUAAGACUAUUGAACAGAGUCGGCUUGUAUUCAAGUCAGAGUCUAAGCGUUAACGAAUAUGAGUGAGAGGGUGGCCCAGCCGACAUAACUCAAAGGCUUGGAAGUUAGUGUUGACUCUUGACUACAAAAACCUCAUAGAUUUCAUUGUUUCUUCAUGGCUAGUUUGGGACAAUUGAAGCUUCAAUGCACGACUUAAUAAGCUAUACGCUAACAACUUACCAAUCAAUUUAAAACAAGCAACUUCAGACAAAAUCUAAACAAUUUGGUUAGAGAAGCUGCUCAAGAAGCUGAAUGUUAAAAGCUCAUAAUGACAUGAACAACCAUACAAGCAAAGAGAAUCUCGCAAUGUUUUGCUUGAUAUGAUAUUCUUUCUAUUUCAAAAGAUUUUUGAAUAUAAGUUCCAAGAGCCGGGAACCCAAUAACCAAUGACCUAUACUUACUAUGUUUACGUCUAGAAUUAACUCUGAAUUAGGGAGACUAUUAAUUAGUAAUGACAACAGAAGAAUAGAGUUACGUCACAUAACAGAGCGUAAAGUGCUGCAACCAAAAGAGCAUAAUAACAAUUUAAAGCCAUAAUUUCUACUUGGUAGAAACAUAGAGCACGGUUGAAGAACUUCAAUACAUUAUUAAAAUUUGACAAGUUGUACUUUUUGUCAAUAUGUAUGAAUGACAGCAGAGCAGUAGAUUAAAAAGAUAACAUGUACUGACGAAUAUAUAGAAGAAAACACUGGUAAUAAAAACAAGAUUAAAGAAGGCACUUUUUCUGGUUCUAAAGAUAUCAUGAACAUUAGAAAAUCCUAUUUAUCCAUAGACCCUCUUUUAGCCAGCUGUAUAAGCCCAAGGAAAUAAGCGGCACAUAUUACUAGGGGAAAAAAGAAAAAAUGAUUAAUCAGCUAUUGCAAUCAUAAAAAGAAGAGCAAAGCCAUCUAGGUUGAUUAAAAAAACCCGAUGUGGCCGCCAUGUGAGUUUAAUACAUCUUUCAGCAAUGCAGAACAAGAAGAGAAAAAAAAGGGGUGGAAAAUAGCCCCACACCAACGAACCAUGUUCUCAGGAUCCUGUUGAAUUACCUUUCUCUCCGCCACUAUUACUAAAUAAGAGAAAAACAACAUUAAACCUCACCAAUUGCUUUAUGUUUCAACUCCCGCCUUGUUUUCUUUCAUGGCCAUGUACAAUCAUAAAAAGGAUCAUCCACUCGAACUUUAUUGUAGCUAGGAUACUGGCAUUCAAAUUUGGCACAGCAAGCUUGUAAAGGUGGGGCUUCGAAAUCAUGUGCAUCCAUGUGGCUUGUCUCCUCCCUUUAGGGGCCCCUUCUCACUAAUCAAAUAUUCGACUUCAUAUGAAUUCAUUUUCCUCUAUUAGUCUUAGUAUUUGAUCCUUGUACAUUAUGAAGACUGUUUCAUUACUCAUUUAGCUUAACAUCUUCAUUUUUCUUCUCAUUUCAUACACCACACUUCACCUACUUCCCCACGCUUAACAGCGACUAUACUACAAUUCCAUAAAAUCCAACAAAAAAUUUCAAUGAGAGAGCAUAUAUAGGAUAUUGAAACUUCAAUAUACCAGUUGGUUAUCUAGUAUCACACCUUACUGUUCCUCUCGCUAAGAAUGCAAGACUCAGACUCGCUCAAGAAAGCUUUCCUGAAACACUUACUAAUAGGACUCCAUCGAAGUGGUGUUGCAUCCGUAAACAUGAGUUUUGUCAGGAGGAAAAGAGCCUUAAGCUCAUUUCCGACAUCAUUUUGGCCACUGCUAGAGGUGGAACAAAAUGGAGCAAAGCCAUCAUAGAGGAUCUUUACAACCAAGAAAGAAAGAAAAAUCCUACAGAGUAGUUUUUUGAGGAAAGAACAUGAGGUCACCUCAACCAUCCUCGAAAUGGAGAAUGAUGAAAAGUAAGAAAAUCUUGAGAAGUUUCCAGGUAAGAUCAAAAGCAAUGAAGAAUGUGCAUGAAUAUGAAGGUGCUUCAGGAGGUGUUCUUGACAAGGCUAUGAUAAAGAAGAAGAUGCGUGUUCUAAGGCAUCUAAUACCAGGAGCUACAUUCUUGGAUGACUUAUGUCUGUUGGAUCAAACCCUAGACUAUGUUAUCUCCCUUAGGGCUCAGGUCGAUGUGAUGCAGAAACUCAUGAAAACCCUCAAUGUUAGAAGAUCCAAGUAAGCCGGUCUAUCCCAUAAAGUAGUUUUCCCCAAUGCAAUAGGCCAUGUAGAGAUUUAGUCUCUACCAUAAAGCAUGAUAUAAACUUACUAUUUCUCGUAUAAUAAGAGUAUCGCUGGUUUUGUGCAUAAGUUGUUGCCAAGCCCCACUUAGGGAUGUUAUGCAAGACCAGGCAAAUAAUAGCUCAUUGUCCGAUAUGGUUUUGAAAGUUGAAUUUCGUAUUUUGAAGGAAAUAAUGUGCCAUGAGAUCAAUACUAAUUUACUCAAAAGGGAAAAGUUCUUAGAUGACAAAUAUUUUCUCCUGGGGCAUUUUCUCUUGAGAGAUCUGUUGCACCUUAUCUAUAUGCCCUAAUGAAGGGAUAUAUUCCACCUAAACUAUUUGCACCUUAGCUAUUUAAACAGCCAUAUAACUAUCACAUAGUGCAACUACAUUUUCACACAACUUUUUUGAUCCCAGAACCUAAAUCAGUUAAAGGACUCCUCAUGCAUAGUUUCGCUUAACUAGUACUUAUCUCAAUAUCGAAAGGAGGACAAAAUGUAGUUUGGCUCAAGGCAAAACUUGGACAGCAUCGAAAGAGAUGGGAGGCACUAUUUGAGUACAGCUACUGCACUAGCAACCAGAACACUUGCAUUAUGCAAGCAGAGCAUGAUCAGAUUUACAGGUUGUAAAUGAAAGUACAAUAAGGCCUUGCCUUUGAUCAGGUUGAUGCAUCAGAUUGUAUGGAUUUACAUCCUAGGGUUUAGAGAUGAGAAGUUAUCUUUAGAGUACACUCAUAAUAUAAAAGAGACAAAGAUGGUACCACCAAACAUAAUUAAUCUGAAGACAUUACACAACCCAACUAUCUUGGCUGAUUUUCUUUUAGACCCAGAAGAUCAUUCAGAGGGGACCAUGCAUCAGACUAGGGUAAAAAAUUACCAGCCAAUGAGUUGAAAUAAAAUUGGGACAGGUCUAACUCAUGUCCAUAGUUCAAUUCAUAUAUAUUUCUAUCCAUGUCUUCAUGUUCAGUUGAUUAAAACAUUAGAAAUGCAUACAAAAGAGAUCUAUCCUAUAAGGUGAAGGCCAUCUAAACUAAGGUAAAAACUAGAAGAGUAUCAUUACGAUUUACUACCUCUUAUAUAUUGAUAAACAAAUUUUGCUAAGAAGGAUGUUGAAUCUAUUAACACCACAAUCAAGAUCACACAACAGUUUCCAUCUAUUUUCAACACCACAAAUGUAAGCGCAGCCCCUCCAACCAAAAAAAAAAGCUAAUGGAGACAAAACCCACAAUUAAGUCAACAAAACACGGAAUAAAGAUUGCUAUUUUAGAGACAAGUGAACAAGCCAAAAAACAUUACUAAAAGGUACCGCAUACUACUAGUAAGAAACAGCAGCAACAUGAAAGAAAACACUAAAAUAGAAUUACAUACUCCAGAUUACAACACAACUAUACACAUCAUGCCAUAUUAGUACCUGCAGCAGGAAAAAAGAAAUCACUUCACCAACAGCCUUUGUAACUAUGAGCCGCAGGAACCCCUUUCUCUGUUUCAUUAUAAGCAUCAGUGUUAGGAUUUUGAAACAAGUUGACGAAAUUCAAAAGAAACUAAAAUCACAUAAUUAUGCAAAUAGCAUAGAUAUAUUAGAAGAUGUGCAUUACAUAAACUUAAGCUACCGCUAACUCGACAAAACUGAUUUUUACAAAAUGCUCAAAAUCAUACCACACGCACUUCAGGGUCCACAAAUAGAAAUUAAGCAAGACAUAACACUUUUAUACUUUAAUACAUAAUACAACAUUCGAUAUUUAAACCACUCAAUUACUACUACUAGGAGAAACUGGAAUGGACACCACACUAAAUACUUUGGGACAGAACCAAUUGUACUAUAUCAAAUUGUAGCAGACAAUUAUGUGAAACUGCAAAGAGCCAUUGGUAAAUGGGCAGGUACAGUUAAUGACUAAUGGAUUGUACAGUGACACAAUUGAUCACUAUCUUGCAACAAAUAUUAGAUGCACGCCGUAUUUAAAUUGAAACUAUCUAGUGCAUGUUCUGCAUCUAUAAACUAUUUGUCAAAAUAAUUUUUCCAAAUUCUCAGCAGUCUCAAGCAGUCAAGCCAUACUAGUAAAACGACAAAAAGUGAUGAGAAAACUCUCAAGAAUUACACAAAAUAUGACUAAAUUCUCAUCAGCCUAAUGCAGUCGAGCUAUUCUAGUAAAAUGACGAAAAAUGAUAAGAGAACUUCUAAAAAUUAUACAUAAAAAGACAAGCAUUGAGGGUUGAGAAAAAAGUGGACUCCCACUCUCAACAUCAGUACUAAGCUCUUUGCAAUAAGCCAAACAUGACAGAGCCGCUGAAAGGAAAAGGCCAGUUUGGAAAUGGCAUUAUUAGGUAUAAAUGUCAAAGCCAUAUUUCAUUUGAUAACAAUGAAAACAGUCCUACCAAAGACAGAAAAUCUGCAUGACAAUAAAUAGUGAAAAGAUUAAACCUUGAUUGUACUAUGUGAAAAUAAAGUAGCACGUGAAGAAAUCACAAACAGCAAAGCAGAGCCAACAUUCAGCAAUCAACUUGCAUCUCUUCGCGCCAUCAAUAAUGACACUAUCAGAUAUCUUACAUAGGAAAUCUAACUAAAGCUUUAGGCCUUGAGUACUAUAAUUGGAUCACAACUGGUCUAUUAACAGAAGAAGAAAUAUAGCGUAGUUGCAUUUGCAUCUUAUCAGGUCCAUUCUGAAAGUCCCGAGACCCAACCUUUAUCCAUGAUUCAGCAACUAAAUACAAUUUCCACAAAAACCAUGUUUCUAAGCUCCCAAUCUAUAGGCAAUAUUCAAAAAGUGAUUUUGUUUCCCACCAUAAGAUACUCACAUAAGAAAUAAAUAAUAUCGCUUGCCACUAGCAUCUAUAGCUUAAUGCGAUGGGAAAGCCUAUUUAGUGUUUACAUGAGAUCCUAGAACAAAUUAACUUUAAGUAGAAGCUGCAAACAUGCACAUAUACAUUUUAUUAGCAGAAAGUUUCAAGAAAAAUAAAUCUCUUACAAAAGUUUUGUCUCACCUCCUUGCUCAAGUCAACUUAUAUAAAAGUUACAUAUUGUCUAUAUUCGCUUAUUUUUUCAUCUCUCGUUCUUUCUUAUUCAGACCAAGAAUCCCCCAUUUUAUAUAAAACUGCUCUUUCCUAUUGUGUGUAUAGUUGCAAACAUAUCAAAGGUUUGCAAGUAGAGUACAUUAGUCAAACUUAAGUCCUCUUAGGAUCGCAGAACUCCCUCUUACAAAGUUUCAAUAGCUCAACAAAGGUAGAUAGAGAUUCAAUUCAAAAGUAAUGUACUCCGUCUACUAUGCGAUAAUUGAUGCAAAUUUGGAAGAGAGGAAUGGUGUGGAUGAUUUUCCUCCACCAGUUUGGCAUUCACACAAAAUAAUUCAUCUUUGCAUCAACUGCAAGGUUCUCUCUAGUUGCUGCUUACUAGUUCACCAUUUUCCAUUCUCAGAAGUCUCUUCUUCAAAACCUGAAUAAUCAAUACUCUUUAAAAUCCUCUGAUCCUUAUAUUAAAUCCAAGUAAUCCGAUUCUCUAAUAAAUGGAUGUUCACCUUCAACAGAUCAAGAAUUGGGAAACAGAGAGCACUUAUGAGGGGGAAAAGAGGAGGGAAAAAAGAUGAUAUUGGACAAUUAUACUAAUUCAAGAACCUAAAAUCCAUAACCAAUUUUUAGCGCUCUAAACAUGUCCUGAGUCCCUGUAUUUUCAUUAUACUAGAAAACUUUCCCCUUUCAAAAUCUAGUUUGCCACAUAGAGAUUGAUACAAUAAUAGAAGCAGAAGGGACCUUUUUUUUUUUAAGGCAACAUUAGAACAAGUUUUCAACAUGAAGAAUGCACUGUACACGAGCAUCGCCCAGAAGUUAAAAUUACUGCAGCAACCUUCUCCAUUCAGUCAGCUGAUUGGCAUGAAUAUUAACAGCAUUUUUUUUCCCUUCAAAUAAUAUUGUGAACAAAUUUUGACUCCUCUCCAUUGAUGAAAUGCCCUAGUGUCUAUGCUAUCUCAACAAUACCAGAAUAACCAGAUGAGGCCAACUCAGUCAACACGUCAAACUGAGACAACUCCAGAGACAGUUUGAUUAGGUAGAUGUCUUUCAAAGCUGUAGUUAUAAUAGUCGACUUAAUUUCUUUAAUUAGUAAUUCUUCAAAGUGUCUUUACCUCUAAUUGCACCGCACUACAAUGGCAAACAAUUGUAAUGAGAUUGGGGAGUGCCCUAAAAAUGACAAACAAUUGUAAUGAGAUUGGGGAGUGCCCUAAACCUAUUGCACUUAUAACUCAAAGGCUUCAAAUUGUCUCCUUUAAAUUUCGCAAUCAUAGAAGCUACCGAAAUGCCAUGUAUUGCUUCAUUUGAAGAAUACAACAACUCAAACUCGACCAAAUGCUCCCUAUUUGCAAUACAUACAAUGGAAAAAAGGAAAUAGCAUUCUUCUUUUCUUACCUUCAUGAAAAUAAUUUUUUUAAAAAAAAAAGAAGUGAGGGAAACAAUCUUUUUCAGUGGACACCAACAAUUACAACGAUUCGCCCACAAUACCAUGCCAAGAAUCCAUCUUUUUCAGUGGAAAACAACAAUUGCACUGCGAUUCCCCCAAACUACCAUAUAAAGAAUCCAUCUUUUUCAGUAGAUAACGACAAUUGUAGCAAUUCCCCCACAAUAACGACAAUUCCCCUAACUAAAAAAACGAUGUAAAAGGAUCACAAUUCGCAGUGAGUACACAAACCUGAGGAAGGAGACGAACCCUUCGGCGGCGGCAUCGUCGGAGGGUCGAUGAGGGGCGCGUACAUGUACGAAUCGGAGACGAGGUACUCGGCGACGGCUCUCGCGAUCCCCGCACCCUUACACCGCCGCUUCGUCACUGGUUUCCUCCGCACUCCGAACGCUCUUCCUCCUCUUCCUCCUCCCUUCUCCAUCUCCUCUCUCUCUCUCUCCCUAAUCGCCUCUUCCGAAACCCUAGUUUCCGAUUUGUGAAACCCUAAUUCGUAGGAGGAGGAGACGGAGACGUGUCGCCGCGUGAGGGGAGAGGAGGGGGACGCGUGGGAGAGGGAAAGUAAGAGGGGAGUGGGGGUAGUUUAGUCAUUUUGCAAGAAACUGAGGCGGUUUAGAGUCAUUUCCCGCGCAUUUGUUAUUGGGCCACAUGGCAAGAACUUAGUAGGCCGCUUAUAUUGGGCUUUAGUGGACCCAAGUCAGAAGACGUCUCUUCUAGAGCCCACUUACUAUUGGGCCACUUUGGGCCCAAAUAACCUACUAACCUUUUUCCAAUAAUAAUAAUAAUAAUAAUAAUAAUAAUAAUAAUAAUCAAGUGUCUCCUCUAUAAUUAGUGUUAUGAACAAUGCUUCUUCCACCAGCCCAAUUAUUAUUUGUAUCCGCAUUCGCAUCAGUAACUGUUUAAUAUUCGCAAAAAAUUGUAUUCAGAAGAGAAUGGAUGGUAAAAAUCACUAUUCGACUCGUAUCUGAUCCGUUUUAACUCUUUAAAAGUGAGUUUCUCGUCAGCUUAAUCUAAUCGGUUUUCUUUUAACUAGCUUCCUGUUAAUCAUGGUUCUCGAAAUCGACGAGUUUUUUUGGUUUUUCAAGAGAAUUUCCAUGUAUUCAAUUCUCGAUCAUACUUUUCAUUUACAUUUGCACGUAAUGCUUAAGCUUAAGUUAGAUACCACAAGGACCGGUAUGCCGUACAAUGAAAAUCUUACUACAUUUCUUUUCUUUUUAGAACCAAAGCAUUGCGUGAUCUUUCAUGCAUAUUUGUUGAAAAAUAAAUAUGAUUAUGAAGAUGCUACAAGCACCUCAACCAUCAAAACAAAUAUAUUACUUCUGUCCUAAAAAAAGAGCAGAACAUAAGUCAAAAUGCUAGAUAAGUGAAUCUUACGCUUUAAACUCAAAAGUAUGAGAAAGACGCGUAAACAAACUUUUACUUACGUUUUCAUAUAUUUAUUGUAAUCAGAAUCUUAGUUGGAGAAAACUGAUGUGGAAUGAGUUCACUUAUUUUCUAAAACACAAUAUGAUGUAAAAUAAUGUGUAUUUUAAUUCUUCAAUUCUUCAGCUAGCCUGAAAAGGAGGGAAAAUUAUAUCGAAAGUCAUAAAAUUGAGUCCUGCACGCGUCUUAGAGAGUUAGAUACUCAUUGAAAAUAACAACUUUUCGACAGAGAAAUGGUUAUUGGUGUUUUAAAUACUGCAAUAUAUAUAUAAAAGAGUAUAACAAAAGAUCAGCUAUACGCAAUAUUCAUAUAUACAUAGUGUUUGAAGCAUGAUUUGCUCUGAUACCGCUUGUUGGAACCGUAUAAAUACCGAUUAUAUAAUCCAAGAUCUAAAAUAGAACAAAAUAAUAUGAAAAAAAGAUAUUGGAGAAGGAAGAAGAUAACUAAACUAAUACUUCAAUAAUAAAAGGCAAUUAAUUACAAUAUGUGUAACACCUAUGCAGCCAUAUCUAUUGUGGCUUAUUCAUCUAAUUAACUUAUGCCUAACAGAUGAUAAAUUCAAUUUUACUUUGGAUAACUACAAAUCUUACCCAUAAUCAAAUAAAGAUUUAAACUUAUCUGUAACUAUAUUUUAAUUAAGUAUGGAUUAUUAUUCCAACAUAUAGUAUAGAAACAAUGAUACCGUUACAUCACGAGAGACAAAGAAAAACAAGGUUCACGAAAUUUAAAACUAAAAUAAAAUAAAAUAAAAGUUUGUGCACGUGUUUAAGUGGGGAGUAUAAUUUAGCAACGACGUUGUUGCCUGAUUACAGUAAUAACAAAAAUAAAAAUUAUAAUUAUAAUUAUAAUAAUAAUAAUUAGAUGACGUAUCAAACGGGUUUGAGCCCGUGCUUCAACGCGGCGCGCCACACGAGGUCGAUCCGGUCCACGUCGAUGGGGCCCACCUCGUGGUGGGCCCAACCUUCGAGCAAGUGCACCACCCCUCCCGCGUGACACGCGUGCACCACCCCACGAUCCAACGUGUACUGUUUCACACGCAUUUUUUUAAUUAAUUAAUUGAAAUUUAAAACGAGUAACAAAAAUUUCCUUGCAAAAAAAUAAUCCCUCAAAAAAAAAAAAAGUAACACAAAUAGAAACCGAAAUUGGAAAUAAAAUAGAAAUGAUACGUCCUUUUCUUAUGUUUUUAAAUAUUAAUCUUAUAUGAUUUGAUACAUGAAGUGUUAUUUAAAUAUUAAUCUUAAAUAGAAAUCGAAAUUUGAAAAUUUUACUCUCAAUUGCAAAGUAAAGUUAUUUAAAAGACGGAAAAAGUAUGGUGGAUCAGACUUGUUCAAACAUAUUUACUUAGAUAAUAUUUCUGCAGAAACUUCAAAUUUAAGCAAAUGGGUCUAAAGAGGGGGAUUGUAUGUUACCUCGCACACUCCGAGCCCUUGUACAUCAUCGGGCAACUUCAUCGCAGCCAAUUUCCCGUAGGUGCAGUCCCGUCGGAAGCCGAUGAUCGGCGGGACCACAAAUUGGUGGAAGUGAGUGCCCGGAGGAGCCCACCGUUGCUCUCGCAGCGAUAGCCAUUUGCCGACGAUCCAUGUCUAAAGGAUGAAUACGCAUCAUCGUCGUAUCAAAGGGACGGUAAUGAAUCAUAUAUACAUAGACUUCACAAACAUAUGAGCAGUUUAACGAUAAGUAAUAUUAUUGGCAGACAAAUUUAUGGAAUUUGGUCAUCAUUUACUGGCUAAAUUUGAUCAAAUUGAAUGAAUCUAAUCUGUCGUUAGUUUAAAUGGCUUUAUAAUAUUACCUCUCCCGACUGGCGUGCGGAUGUACCCUACAAAAAGGGAAAAAUAGAAAUAGAAAAUGAAAUUGUACCUUACAAUUUUGCGCGGCUCGGUACUUAGUGACCUGAACAAGAUAGUGUUGGAACUCCUGGGGAGCUUCCUUCUGUAUCAUUUGAAACCUUUCCGUCGACAGCGUCAACAUCUACAUAUGCAAACCAAUUUCAACACCGAAACCAUAGAUUUUGAUCAUCUUUGAAUUAAACUCGACUAAAAUGUAUUGAAGAGAAUUGAUAAUCUCAUUCAUGGAACACAAUUCUUCCUGCAAUCUUCGAUACCUUCGAAUUAGUAAUUUUAUGUCAUCUCCUAGUACAUUCGAUCUUAUCUAAUUCAAUCCUAAGUACCAAAUGUUUCAAUAUAUCUUGCUUACCAAGACUCGAAUUCUUUUGCGGCACAAAUAGAGUGCGAUAGCUCUCCCUAGUUUAGAAGUUGCGCCUGUCAGGAAGACCUCUUUUGUAUCUUUUGGGAUAUCGUUGAGUAUUACAGCUGCCGUUAAGGUGUUACCAUGAACCACACGAACUUUGAGAUUCGGGUGUUUGUUCACAAAUAGCGCCCCUCCGCCAUUGAGUGCUUCGUUCUGCAUAAUAGAUCAAAUAAAUUUAAAAAAAAAAAUAGACAGUAAAACAAAAUAUCAAAAAAUGUUUGGUAGUGGUUUCAGAAAUAGCCAUAAUGCAAAAAAUGGUUGUUCACAAAUAGCCAUAAUGCAAAAAACAUCAAAAAAUGUUUGUUCACAAAUAGCGCCGCUCUUCUUUUUUUUUGUUUCCUUUCAAUUGUGCUUGAGACUCUUCUCCUCUACUGAAUUAUACUUCUAAUAAGCAUAUGUUAUUCCAUUCUAAAUAUUUUAUCACAUUUCUCUUCUACAUACCGUAUACUACGACUUCUUAAAAAAGUCAAAGAUAUACCUAAAUAAAAUAUUCAUGCAUUCAGACAGUACCCUAAUUUUUUCUCCUCCACCUCAGACGAAAUUAUAAAAGGUUCGAAGUAAAAAUAAAAAAUGGAACAUUGAAGGGAAAACAAUUAAACAAACCUUGUUUAGUGCAGCAAGGCUGAGGACCUUAACACCCAUCUUGUCAGCCCUCAGGAUGGCCAACUCAAUUUGGUCAUUGAUGCCAUCUUUAGCAAAUGGUAAGAAGUACUACAAAAAGAAUCAAACCAAUCCUUCAUCAGUUAAUCCUCCUAUAGUUUUGGACUUUUUUAUUUUACUAUCCUAUAGUUUAAAGUAUACUAAUUUAGUACCCCGUGGUUUCAUUUUUUUUCUUUUGAUUAUUUCAUUCGCUAAUUUUUUUCGUUAAACCAAUGACGAAGUUAAAAUCAAAAAGUACUAAAGUGAAUAUUCGAUAAACCUAGGUAUGAUAUCUGAAACUUUUUGUAUAUAAUUUAACGAAAUGUUAACGGAGGAACUGACGGAAAAAGAAUAAAAUAAAAUCACAGAGUACUAAAUUGAUACACUUUAAACCACAGGAUACUAAAGUACGAAACCACAAGAUUGGCAUACAAAGUUUUUCCUUAAAAUAUGUAGUAACCCACCCUCUCAACAAUUGUGCAUUUUGGAUUAGACCCCUUAACUUAAUUUUUUUAAAAAGAAAAACAAAAUUUUGGUUCAACCUUAUUGUUAAGUAAUAUAUGUAACUUUUGAUUUGAAAAUAUUUUGGUUUAACCUGGAAUCCGUAACGGGGAACCGCCCAAAUUUGGUGGACGGCGCCUCGAAGGGUGUAGAAGGAGAUGAGGAAGGUCUUGGACCAGGCCCACAUCAUGAGCAUGACCACGAACGCGAUCGGCCACAUCGGCACCAUGAAGGGCCGGAACCUGUACGGCAUCGCGCAGAGCGAGCGGUACAGGAAUGGCACGUGCAUCGACUGCCCUACGUCCACCACGUGUCCCAGGAACACGAAGUCCGGAGCUCCAUCGUUCUUCCCUGCACAGUCACAAGAUAAUAAUCUGGCUAGAGCGUAACUGAACAACUUUUCAGUAAUCAAAGCGUGCGUGCAUGCGUUGGGAGAUCCGAGUGCUCAAAAAUCGAAAUGCGUCUGUUUCUUUGUUUUCCCUUUUUUUACUCGAGGCCCGGCUACGGCAGUCUGUAGCCAGGUUCAUUUUCUAACUGAAUGAAGUGGUGGCAUGCUAUCUUUUUUUCAAACAAAAGUAUAUAGAGUGAGACUAUUAUGCUAUCGGAAGCACGGAGCCUUCCGUGCUUCCAACUCGUUUUCGAUAUUGCGGCUUUCGAAUCGUCGAUCGGCUCCGUUAAACUUGAUCUAGAGUAUUUGAAGUAUCUAGAAAAUAAAUUUUAUAAUUUUACGAUAUCAUUUGCCUAGUGAACGAAGGGGCUCAAAAUCAACGGCUGAAAAUAAAAAUCUUACAAAAUAUAAUAAUAUGACAUUAAAAUUUUAAAUCAAAGAUAUUGAUCUUGUUUUAUAUAGUAUAAAGAAUUUUCUAUCAAAAUUUUACGUGAUUUGAAUACUUCUACACCGUUAAACUUGCAAACGGCUCACUACGGCUAUUGAAAUUUGUUGAUUUUGAGUCCAUUCGAUCACUAGGCAAAUGAUAUCGUAAAAUCAUAAAAUUUAUUUUCUAGGUACUCCAAAUACUCUAGAUCAAGUUUAACGAAGCCGAUCGACGAUUCGAAAGUUGCAACAUCGAAAACGACCUGGAAGCACGAAAGGCUCCGUGCUUCCGAUAGCAUAGUAGCCUCACUCAAGUAGAGUAUAUAUAUCCCUAUUAUAUGAUUUUGUCAUUGUUUUAUGUGUGUUACAUAAUGAUUCACAGGGCCUAGUAAACUGCACGGGUGAGACAGGUAAUUAAGUGUGAUUUUGAAAUGGUCCACCUUUUACAAUGUAUCUAGUACAAAAUUUAUGGCUAAAUAUAUAGCCGGGCUACAACAAUGUACGUAUCUAGUACAAAAUUUAUGGCUAAAUAGCUGGGCUACUAGUAUCUAGUAUAAAAUUUAUGGCUAAAUAGCCGGCCUACUGGUCCCCAAAUUUUGGCCAAGUUAAUUUUACUUAGUGAUCAUCAAACUUUUUUUAGGUUUGGUAUUUGAUUCUAUAGAACGAAUCUAAUCCUUAUUUAAUUACUAUUAAAAAAAUAAUUGUAUGUUAUGUAUUUAACGACUCAUUUCCAUCGAUCGAUCUCAUGUGCUAAUCUUACUGUCCCAUCCAUUACGGUCUUUUCAAUAAUCAUAAAUUAAAAUAUUAUAUUAAAAGUAUGAAAUGGAUGGACGACUGAUAGAUUUACAAACACAGACAAAAAUAUAAAUAAGUUGCGCACAAUAUUUUUUUUUUUAAGAAUCUAUUAAACUUCGAGGACCAAAAAAACGAAGCAAGACCCUUAUAAAUAUAUUGCAUAUCCAUGUAAUUAGGUUGGCCGAGAAUUAAAUGUGUUGUGUCACUCUAGCAUGCAAUGCUCCUGAUUACAAAAAUAUUUCUACAAUACUAAGUCAAAAUAUGCAUUACUCACCUUUUUCUGUAAAUAUAAUAAUAUAUAUAUUUCUUCAAAGGAUCCAUAGUCCUUUAUUGUAAGGAUCUUUAUUUCAAGUUCAAAUUCAACUAAAAGAAUAUUUUUAUAAUAGUAAGUCAAAAUAUAUAUACAGUAAUAUAAUAUAUUCUUUCAAAGGACCCAUACUCCUUAAUUAAUUUUAAGAGUUGAAAUUCAACAGAUACAAUUUAAUGAUCCAUCUCCCAACCAAUCCAAGGAAGGUCCUUAUCAUCUUCUUGGUCCUGGAGUUGAUUGGUUGAGUUCACAAGAAAUUGACACUGGUCAAUUAAUUAAGAUGUGUGUUACAAGUUGUAUGCAAAUUGGUUUCAAUUAGCCAUCACUAGUGAAAAAUUCGCGCUUCGUAGCCGCCACAAAAUAAUUUUAUAAAAUUUAUAUAAUAUUUAUUUAUUAGAUUUUUAUCGAUCUAUAUAUAUAAUGAAAACGGAGAAAAAGACGUGGACAACUAAAUACGAAUCAAAAUAUCUUGUGUAGUUGUCAUUUGAACAUCAUAUUGUUUUCUUAUCUAAUUUUAUUUAAUUUUAAAACUAGAAUCUUCUAAUUAUAAUUGCAAAUAAAAUUUUCCUAUUUAACUAAUCUAUCUCCAAAAUAAAGACUACAAAGUUUCUAUCAUUUAUUUCAAUAUAUUUUUUUAUGAAUAAAUAUUAAUUUUUUACUAUAAUCUACAAAAUUGGAUAUUAUUCAUGCAGCACAAAUUCAUCACAAAUUAUUUUAUAAAAUAAAAUAUAUACAAAUAUUUUAAGAUUGUAUUUGUAAAUAGCUAUCUAGAUGUCAAAUGCUAGGAUUCACUCAGUUGUCUUAUUAUUAUUUUUUAAUACAAAAAAUCCAAAGGAGCUUUUCAAACCCUCAAAUGUAAGAGUGUAAGAUGUACGCUCCAAUGUGCUGUACAGGUAGCAUUUUUCAAUGCCAAAAACUAAAUAGGCAGGCUAUGUAUGUAGAAUCUAAGCAGGGGUAUUAUGGUAGUUUAAUGUCACACACUUAUAUAAAGCAUAAUAUAUUGAGCAUUGCUCCUCCAUAUAUAUAUCCUAAAACCAAUUAGUUGGGGUUAUUUAUGUUAUAAAUUUGCUCAAUUUGUCCAUGUGUUUCAUUUGUUGGAAUGUUGUUGGUGUUCAUUAAAGAUAAUAUUGGUUGGAGUAACUUAUGCCCAAAAUAUGCUUUACCUAAUUGCAAAAGUGAUAGCUAGGAAGUAGACAAACCAACUACUUGGAUUAUCAUUCUAGCUUUGGACAUCUUAGAAGUUGUGGAAUAAGCUUUCUUUAUUCAGACAGAUAAAUGAAAAUGAAAAGAAACGGCACUAGUAUUAAUUGCAAUAGUUAUACAGCGCAACGAGAGCUUGGAUAUCGAUUGUUUUCAGUAUAACCAUUUGAAAAUACGUAAGAUUCUGUCUAAAGAUACAAAAUCUUCCUUAAUUUAGACAGGUGAAUGAAAACGAGAAGAAAUAACUUUUGGACAAUUCACAUUUAUACAACGCAACAAGAGCUUGGAUAUCGAUUGUUUUUAGUAUAACUGUUUGAAAAAACAUAAGAUUCUGUUUAAGAAUAUAUCAGAUUCCUUCAUUUAGACAGAUUAAUGAGAAUGAAAAGAAGUGACUCUCGGAUUAUUCACAAUUAUACAUCGCAACAAGAGGUUGGAUAUCUAUUAUUUUCAGUUUGACUAUUUGAACAUAACAUAAGAUUCAACACUAAGAAUUCAUAAGCUUUCUUAAUUUAAGAUGGAUGAAAAUGAAAGAAAAGGCACUUGGAUCAACUGCAACUGCAGAGUGCUACAAGAGCUUGGAUAUCUAUUGUUUUCAGUAUAACUGUUUGGAAAAGCAUAAGAUUAUGUAUUAAUUAAGAGUUCAUAAACUCAUUUCGACUUUCUACAAUAGAAGUCAAAUGCAUGUAUCCUAUCUUAUAGACCAACCAAGCCAAACAUGCUUAAAUAUCAUCAUUCUUUAUAACCUUUGGUUCUUAGAAAAAAUAAUUACUUUUUUUAGUAUUAGAUCAAAAGGUCAUAAGUUCAAAUCCUACCAUGAUUUAAUCUCUUUUUAUUUAAUUACAAUUCAUGUCAUGGACCUAGUAAAGAGUCUGGAAUCCAAACGUGAUAAAUAUGUCGAAUUUAAAAAUACUAUUAGCAUUUUUCUCUAUUUAGAAUAAUUGGUUUUUUCAUAAAACAGAAACUAUAUAUGGAAAAAAGAAAAACAUCUCUGUUUUAAUUUUGAGGAUCAUAAUUAAUGAUAUAAUUACCUGCAAAUAUCUCCCUAUGUAGCUCCCAAGAUUUGGGGUGAAGUGUUCCUCCCAAAAGAUCAAAUAUAGGCAUAAAUAGACAAAAAUUAGAGUUCUUCUCCACAUGGUGAAUACUAUGAUACCUGCAAAUAAAAAUUUAUUUGUAACUUUAGUUAUUAGUUUUUAAGAAAAAGAUUAAUCCAAUUUCUUGAUCUACUUAAAAUACUGUUGAACAACUAUCUAUCUAGAGAAAAAGGAAAUAGUGUGGAAAAAAAGAAAUAAAAGAUCUUAAUUAAGCAAUAAUUUCACCUCUUCACUUUUUCUAAGGUGCGAAUUUGUGAGAUAAAAAAUGCAAGAUCGAUACCGAUCAUUAUCUUGAUAUGAUAUGAAAAAAAACUAAUUGUUUACAGUGAUGACACAAAAAUGAAAGAUAAUUAAUGUUUAUAAUUAAACAUAGGGCAAUAAUGCUACUCAGUUGUCGACAAUUCACACUCAAAGUAACACUCGACAAAAGUCAUAUAUUUAACUAGUAACAACAUGGUACAUUCUAAUUUUAAUAAAAUUACUAAACUAGAAUUUUUGUUUUUAGCUAAUGUGUAAAGAAGCUAUAUAUAAAGAAAUUUUACAAGUGAAAAUUAUUAAAUUUCUCAGUAAAGUUCUUCUUCCCAAACAGCACUUUUACAAAAUCUCUAAUGAAUUUAAUGUUGUGUAGCUUCCAAGCUAGUAACAUUUUUGUCUCUAUAAUCAAACUUGGAAGCAAAUUAAAGUUUUCUUAGAUUGUAUAUGCUAUUUAUAUAACAUUUUAAGACAAACCCAUUUUAGCCAACACCUGAAAUAUCGAUCACUAUUGUAAAACAAUUGAUUAUGCCAAAAUUUUAACCCCCUCCUAUUCUAAUACAAUGCGAAGUAAUUAAUUAACUGAUAAUUCUAAUUAAGCUGUUAGAUAACGGCAUGCAUGAUCGCUUACGUUGGAGUGCAGAUGAGGUAUCUAAGGGUGGGGAAGGCAUCAAAGAUCACACUGGGCACCACCUCAAUAUUGCUAUGCCCCAUCCCUCUUAGGAAAUCAAAGAGCCAAACAUAUCCAAAUAUGAGUCCAUAAGAUCCCCACCCCAAUAAGCAAGAACCAAAUAUGGGCACACCCUUGAUAAUACUCAACACAAUGCUCUCCAAUGGGGUGACAAAUCCAGCUGCCAUAAACAACAGAAAAAAGGUAAAAAAAAAGAAAAAAAAAAGAAAAAAAAAAAAGAGAGAGAGAGGGAAUAAGACAAAAUCACACAACUCAGCAUCAUUUAAACUCUAAUUUGGAGGGAUUUGUGAAGAGGAGAUACGAGACAAGAAGAAAUUAUUGAUUGCACCUGUUGCGUCCUUAUAUGUAGGAAAUUGACAUUGAUAGAGUUGACUGUGUCUCCACCAAAUCAGACAUAGAUUAAUUUAUAAAAUGCUCUCACAAUAUCAGCUCUUAUGUAUUUAUAUAUUGCAUGCAUAUUUAUUGGCACUUGUUCUCAUCUUAUACUUUCAAUCUAAUUAAGCAUUUAGUUUUAAAAUAAAAGGUACAACUUAUUGGACACAGCUAAUAUAUAGGUGGUGAAACCGCCAAUCAGUAGAACAGCUUGGUAGGUAGAUAUAUAUAUCUUAUUUCUAAACUAAUGGGUCUGCAAUUUGAAUCACGUUUUAUGUUAUAACCAAAAAAAAGAAAAAACAGGAAAUAAUUUUUUUUUCUUUUCAAAAAAGGUUAUAUAUAUAUAUAUAAAAUUAGACUGGAAUGCUUCUAAUAGUACCAAGUUAUUGGUGCUAUUAGGUUUUCGGUUCUUAGAUGAAGGGAUGUGCGGCUAGGAUGAUAGUGGUCCCCUAGAGUUGAGUGUGUGGUUGAUUGAAUAGUAUGAUCUAACGGAUGAAAAUGAUCAAAGGGGUAAAUUUUACGGUGAAAAAUUUGAUAGCACAAAAUGCUUGGCGUUAUUAGAAACACCCCGGCCGAACUCAUAUAUAUAGAACUAGGCUAUAAUACUAUUAAUAUCAUCAAAUCAUUGGUGCUAUUACGUUUUCAGCCUUUGGAUAAAGCGAUGUAUGAUAGUGGUUUUGUAGAGUUGAGUGGAUAGUUGGUUGAACAGUAUAAUCUAAUAAGUAAAAAUGAUUAAAGAGAUAGAUCAAACAGUAGAAAACUUGGUAGUACAAAGUAAUUGAUGCUAUCCAUAGAAUUGUAGCCGCACUCUAUAUAUAUAUAUAUAUAUAUAUAUAUAUAUAUAUAUAAUUAAGAAAGCUUAUUUUGUUUUUUAAUACCUGUAAAGGACUGAGGCACCUUUGAGGAGUGGUGGAGAGAGUGGUAGAGAGAGAAGAGGUUGCCUCUGUGGAAUAUUUCUCUAUGCACCCAAUAAUACAAAGGCUCUGAUACUCCCACAUGAAGAACAAAAGCCAUGCAAACACCUCUCAAAUCCCUUAGAGGGAGCUCUCUCAAAUAAGGAAACCAAGAAAAAGCCAUUGCUCCAAUGAAACAUUCAAGUAUUAUAAAAUUAUCCCUGCCCAAAAAAAUUAAAAAUAAAAAUUUAAAUUCUAUCAAAUAACCAUGAAAAAUAAUGGCCUAAAUUUUAACACUAAACACAUAAAAAAUAUAUAUAUGUAUAUAUAAAAUCCAUACCAAUCCCACUCUUUGUCAAUUUGAUCAAAAUCAACCCCAUCCUUAAAAAUCCGGCGCCGCCGAUUGAGGAAGAGCAUGUUGCUAAAUGAGCACAAGUUUAGGUGGAUGAGAGCUCUAAGGAAACAUAGAAGCAGAAGAUAAAAACACCAUUUAUGUGAGCUGUUACUCUCCCAUGCCUUUGAGAUUAUAACCUUUGCUAUAAGUGGCCCAUAUAGAAGAUACUGCAAAAAUAAACUUAAACCAUGUUAAAUUAAUAUAACACAAAAAACAAAGGCCAAAAAAACAAUAUAUAUAUAUAUAUAUAUAUAGUGAAAGAGAGUGUGUGUGAGAUAGAAGGAUGUAUAUGCAUGCCUUGUAGACACCAAAGUUUUCCCAUGGCCAAGAAGAUAAAGGAGCACCCAUUUUUCUUUUUUUCUUUUUUUUUUGUUUCUCUUUUUUUUUUCUAAGAGGAGGAGAAGGAAAGGAUCUAGUGGUUACUUUGUGUUUGUAUUGUGAGGAUGGAUGUGGCACCAAAAAUGGGUGUAUAUAUAUAAAUAUAUGUAUCCAUAUGUAUAGUUUGUAUAAGAAGCCAGGGUAACUUCUCAAUAAAUAUUGGGUGGAUGGGGAAUCAAUAAAUAAAAUAAAUGAAAUGUUUCACCAAAUCUGUUGGUGGUGUAGUGUUUGGUUAACCAAGGCUUAGUCAACAUUGGUGAUGUAGAAGGGAAUUGGUCUCUUCUCAUUGGAGUCAAUUUUGUGCUGCUUUUAUUUUUAUUUUUAUUUGUAGAUGCAAUUAUAUGUAAUAGAUAUUUUGUGAUUGGAAAAGUACAAAUGAGUAGAAUGAUUACAAAGACAAGUCAACAGGGUUUAGUAUGUAGAAUGAUUACGAGGACAAGUUAUAGGGUUUUAUUUAAUAAUAUUGUAUCUUGUGAACAACCAAUAACUUUUUUUUUUUUUUUUUUUGGUCUUUGAUGAGACGAGAAAACAAAACAAAAAUUAAUUACAUGCUACACACGCAAAAUAAUUGUCCAAAAUCGAAUCUUGAAAAAAUGAAUAUGUUAGUGUGAUUUUUAUAUAUAUGAGCCAAAGUCAGAACUACGGAGACGAAUCCAAUCAAAUAAGAAUAUUUCCUAUGAUUAAUAAAUUUUGUACAAAAAUGCAUGUAUUCAUGCUAUCAUUGCAAUUAAUUACUAAUCCUUUCAACAAGUAAAUAUUCUUACUCAACAUUGCCCAAGUAAAAUUAUCUAAAUAAAAAGCUUAUAUUUUGGUAACAUUUGUCUCUUUAAAAAAGGAAAAAAAAACAGUCACGUACCCUUUUCUAAUGUUACAAUUUUGUAAUUGUGACAACGUAUAUAAUUAGUUCCCUACAUCAUUUUCGUGAAAAAUUUUAUAGAAACCCUCAACUUUUAUCGCGGGCCAUGCAAGUUCUUGUUUUUUUCUUUUUGAUUAAAAUUUUCGUAAUUUUUAAUUGUUUUAAUGUGAACUCUUUCGUCGAGUUGAAUUGGAAAGUCAUUAAAAAAUACCAUCUUUAUAACCCUGGCUAAAAAAAACUUCAAUUUAAUUUCUAAAAAUUAUCUAAAUACAAAUAAUUGAAGGUUAAAAAAGGCGCAAUUAAAAGAAUUAGUUGAGGGGCCUAUUUCAAAACUCUCUAUAAUUGUAGAACAAAAUCCAAAACCCGUAUUUAUUUAUCAGGAUUAAUCAACAAACUCUGAGCCAUUCGUGCUGGUGCAAAGGAAUCAAGGGCAAUGUUAAAUUUGCAUAAAGAUGCUCACAAUAUUCUGAUGCUACAAAGAGGUCCUUGAACUUAAAAUUUGCGCAGUUUUACAAUUAGAUGCUUAAUCUUUAGAAUUAAUAUUGCACCAUUUAUCCAUAAUAUACUUUUACUGAUAUUUUCACUUUGAUCCCUGACCUCUUCUCCAAUUUGCACAUCCAUCGUUCCAAUCCAAGCUCACCCAUCUUCAAAGUCAUUCUAGCUCUGCGCCUACGUGUGAGACCCCAGAUAGUCCUAUAUAUAAGAUAUAAUAGGGCUAAAAUUCUUAACCCGACUUAAACAUUUUUUGUGAUGGUAAGGUCCAAGAGGUUAAGAGAGUUAAGCGUGUUAGGAUGAAAGUAACCCUAGGAUGGGUGACCGCCUGGAAAGCUGGGGUGUCACAGUUGGUAUCAGCAUCAAAGCCAAUUACCAGCCGGAAGUGUAAGAUGAGUCUCAGCUGAGGCAGGAUCGGAAUGACAAGACUAGUGAAAGUCUCACAUCGCCUGCUAUUUGUGUGUCUGAGCCUGACGAGAACGUCAGGACCUAAAGGGGAGGAAAUUAAUGUGAGACCCCAGAUCGUCCUAUAUAAAAUUCUUAAUCCGACUUAAAUUUUUUGGGUGGUGACAAGACCCAAGAGGUUAAUAGAGUUAAGCGUGCUAGGACGGGAGUAGUCUUAGGAUGAGUGACCUCCUGGAAAGCUGGGGCGUCACACUACGACCACCUAGACCUCGCAAAAAAUAUCUAUUCUCUAGUCUAGAGCUUUUGACGUCUUAGUUUUAUGUCGAUCGAGUGCGUCACGAAACUCUUCUAGAAAUUUGAAAAAUUAAAGUUGAUGCUGAGAUCAACGCUAAGGGCUGUGGAGAAGAAGGAAAUUAAAAGCAGUGGAGGAGGAGGGGGAGGGAGAGGAAAGGGGCUAUGACGUCAUCGAAAGAGUUGAGAUCGAGGGACGAGAGAGGGGAACAAAUAAUUUUGGUUAGAUUUCUAAAAUUUUGAAUAUGCAAAAUAAAAAAACAAGGACUGAUUUUGCAGAAACGUAAAACUAAUAAAUUUUUUAUGCAAAUUGGCUAUAAAUAUGUAUAUUUUUAGAAGAGAUAUAUAAGCCACAUAGAGUAUCAUUGACAUGAAAGUAAAUGUAUAUAACAAUAUUAGUAGAAACUAAAAGUUGUUGAUCAAAUAAACAUUGUUCUUCAUAGUCAAAUCAAUUAAAUAAAAUAUGUAAAAUAUGUGUGCGCAUUAUAUAUAUAUUAUAUAUUUUAUAUUAUAUAUUAUUAGGAUCAAUAAAUCGAGGUGGUUGUUCCGUAAACGAGCACAGGCUCAAAUUAAUAGCCACAUGACAAAGUGUUAUUCACGUUCACACACUUUCAAUAUUGUGGUCACGUAUAGUACUACAAAAUAUAAACAUGUAUAUACAAACAUACGGAGAAUUUGAUAUAGAUAGAGGUAGUUCUAACACUUAACUAGCUAGAAGAUUCGAGAAGGUUCUAUAAAUUCCACGUACGUACUUUUUUGAGCUCUCUUAUCACGCUUCCCAAUGUGCUACAAUCUUCGAGACUUUCUCUUAUCUAAGUUGCCAUCCUUAAGGUCAAAAUAUAUCUAACUCCUUGUUUGGUAUUAAAUUUAUAUAAAAUAAUUACUUUUUCUAUAAGUUAAGGAUACGAUCUCGAACUCAAAAUUUUUUACACUGAUACUAUGUUAAAUUAUAUAAAAUAAUUAUUUUUCUUCAAAAGUUUAAGGGGGAGUUUAGUUUAGUGUAAAAACGAAGCUGAAAAUUAUUUUCGGUCUAAAAAAUAUUUUUCACUUACUUGAUUCGAUGCAAAAUAAUUUUUUCAUAAAAAUACCUUUACAGAUAUGAAAAAAGAUUUCAUUUUUUGCUGAAGGAGAAUAAUAUAUAUAAUAUUUUUUUUUCUACAAACCAAACGUUAAAAAGUGUAAAAAAAAAAUUCCGUCAAAAACUCUUUUCCACCGAAAAUUAUUUUUCAUAACUCUAUACAUUAAAUCAAAACAAACCUUAAGCUACUAGAGAAUGAUAUUUUUAAUAAUCAUAUAUAUUUAAGUAUCUGUAUUUGAUUUGUCUAGAUAGUCGUCUUUAAAAUCAAGAAUUUGAUUUUUGCUUGUGCUUUCAAAAAAUAAAGCUAAUAUCUUUGACUUUUUGAUAUUAAACAUAGCAUAUUUAUUUAAGGGAAUCAGGAUUAGAGCUUUAAAGAUAAACUAAAAAAAAUAUAAUGCUAUUUUUAGUACUAUAAAAUGUUUUAUAUAUUUUUUUCAUCUAAACACUUUAAUUAUUUUGAGCUAACAACUACUCAGCCACUUAUAAUUUAGAUAUAGUUUUCACCUCAUUUACUAUCACAUUGAUUUUUUUUAUGUAAUAUGAUGUAGAACUAAUUCUGAACCACUUCAUUUUAUGUGGUUGUUGAUUCGAUCUCUAUAUAUUAUCUUUAUUCAACGAAGAAGUUUUUGAUCCUGCGAAACUUUUCUGAGUUAGCUCAAAAAUAUAUAUUAUGCAAAAUAAUUGAUAAUUUAACAUUUCAAAGUGAAGGCAAAGUAAAGAAAUUUCUUCUUUUUUAAAAAAAUUGUUGAAUGCCAAAUAAUUUCUUUAAAUGGUUGAAAGCGAAUUGUAAUUCAUAAAAAAAAAAAUCAGAAAUAAAAAUAUUUUGAAAAAUACAAAAAAUUAAGUUGCAAUAAUAGGAUUGUUAGGACUAAUCAAUGCAUAUUUUCCUUAUUAUUUUGUCAUUCAUUUAUUGAGAGAGUUAUUAAUUACUGUGUACAAACAUUUAUUAAGACAAGGGACUAAACAACUAAAACCUCAAGCAUAUAUAACUUUAAGAACCCAAAUUAACCAUGAAAAUUGGAAAGGGAAAAUUGCACCCAUAGUCCCUGACCUAUCAGCCAAGUUUUAUUUGGUCCUCAAACUUUCACGCAUAAAUUAUUGCCUACACCCAGUGUAUCUGUACAUCUCUGCAUUAUAGAUUAAUUAUGGACUAUUUUUCGCAUCACAUAUUUCAACCCUACUGCUCGUUGUGAAUUUUUUGGUUCGAUACUUUAACGAGUCAGCUCGUAUUCUCAUGUUCGGUUCGUUUAUGAAAAACAAGUCGAAUACGACCCGACCCUGACUUGCUCGUAUUCAGCUCGUUGACACACCUACCACAAAGGAAUAGUCUCUUUGACUGUUUAACAUAAGCAAUGCAUGAAUUUUUAAACAGCGAUGAACGAUUGAUUACGAAGGUUACGAAAAAUAAUUAAACAUUAAACAAAGAACCAUUAUAUAUAUAUAUNAGGAAUUAGUGUUUUUAAGUUUUUAACCCUUAGAUCAACUCCUUUAUCAUUUCUAACAUUUUAAGUUAAUAUUAUUUUCCUGUUGGGACUACUAAAUCCUAUAGGAGACUACUGAACCGUAAGAUAACCACUAUCAUCCCAACUAUACAGUUAUUGAUCCAAGGGCCAAAAAGUUAAAAAUAACAACUCCUUUAUACUUUUGAAAGUAUAGUAGCUCUACACUAUAUAUAUAUUUAUAUAUCGGUCCGUGGUGAGGGCUAAGGGUAUUGGGCCAAAUUGAAAGCAAUCACGCAACUGGGCUUGGGCUUGGAUAAUGAGGCACUUCAACUCGGGAUCAGGUAUAGAAGGCCUAGCUUGCGACGUAAAAAAAAAUGUGAAACUAUAUGCUUCUAAAAGUAGCUACUUUCGACUUCCAGGCACCUGAAGCCAUAAUAAAAUCACCAUCAUAUCGCAAACCCUAUUGAUCCGACGGUCAAAAAGUUGGAAGUAGCACACUUUGAGAAGCACUUAAGCCCAAUGCAAAGUAUCAAGAUCACCCUCAAUUUUGGCUUGAAUACACUUAACCAUAAAAAAUUUAAAUAAGUUAAAGUAAAAAAGAAAGAAACUACAUGAACUUUCCAAUUUUUUCAAUUAUUUAUCCCACUGCUAUUUUUGCAAAAUUUUAUAACUAAUUACAGGAAUCACAACCUCUUUUUUUUUUAAACUUAUUAAAGUAUAUACACUGACUAAAUGUAAUCAGUUUACUCCAAUAUGCCAAUAAUUUCAAAGUAUAAUCCGGCAAAGUAAUCUUUAAUCUUGUGGUAUUGAUAUUUUAAUUUGAUAAACCGACAGUGUCAACGCCUUUUAAGGACCUGUUUGAUACUGAGGACUAUCUGAUAAUUAGGGAUGUAAAACGGGCCGGACGGCAUGUGGGCUGCCGGACCCAGCACCGCCUCGGGCCGAGCUACAGCAAGGCACGAGUACAAUAGCACCCGGGCCAGGCCGGCCCGGCACGGCCUCGGGCUGGGCUACAGCACAAACAGGUACUGUAACACUUGUGCCUGGCCGGCCCGACCCGAGGCUCUGAGCCGUGAUGGGCCAUAUUUUUGGAGCCCGACAGCCCGACAUGGCAUGGCCCGAAAUGGGCCUGAGCCAUGCCCGGCAGUAGGGCCAGCCCGGCCCGCACCCCAUGCCAUGGGGUCUAAGCGCGGCCCUUCUCCCCAGGAGCUCUCCACCCAAGGUCUGCCAGACCUUGGGAGGAGGACUUUUGGUCCAAUGGAGACAAUUUGGUCCAUUGGACCAAAAGUCAAUUUCAUUUUUAAAAAAAAAAUAAUAAUAAUACAAAUUUAUUUAUUUUUUAAAAAAUAAAUAUUUAUUUUAGUAUAAUUAUUUUUAUAAUUUUUUAAUAUUUUAAUCAAAAUAUUAAUUUAAAUAAAAAUAUUUAUUGUUUAUAUUUUUAAAUUUCAUACUAAAUUUUUUUAAAAAAUUUUAAAAAUAAAUACUUUACUAGGCCGGCCUGGAGCACGGCCCGUGCCUUCCAGGCGAAAGGGCCAUGCCGGGCCAGAGGUUAGACAACUUGGGCCCGGCACGGCCCAGCUCGAAAUUAAAUCCGAGCUGGGCUGGGCCGGACCUAGCCCGUUUCGGUUCGAAAAAUGUAGUAUUAUUCGAUCAAAAUGAACUAAUUAAGAAAACCAAAAGAACAUAUCAAUAUAGACGAUUCUCCGUUUUUGGCAGGAGAACAAAAACCGUCUCAUACCCAAAUCGUUGCGAUUUACGUAACGUGUUUACCAAAACAAACGUAAUAUCUUUUUAUCGAGUGAAAAGUGGCAAAUCGAAAAUGGUUGACAUUGAGUUGUGAUAGGAACUGCGGCCAACAAGAAACUCUAUGUCAACUGAUAAAGUUAUGAUAGAAAAAUAUAAUAUUUUUGAUCGUCGAUAUGUCAUCCAGUAUAUAAUAUAUCCGCACGUAAUAUAUAAAUUUAUAAGCACAUUAGCAGGUUAAAAAAACAACAUUAAUUAUGCAUGACAUCUAAGAUGAGAUUGCUGAGUCAUUCUCCAUUUGUUUAGCAAUUAAUUGGAUAGUUCCUCACGGGUCUUAAACUUUCUUUUGUUUGCAUGUGGUUUUCGAACGCAUUAAUUAAGCAAAGCAACUAGAUCUUAUCUAUGUAUGCUGAUAAUUUGCUGAGUCAUUGCCCCAAUUUUCUUUACAAUUAGCUACCUAAAAUACCAAUUUUUACCGACCAUCCCUAAAGCAAGUGGCAAAGGGCUUGAUGGUUGGUACCCGAGACUCAAGUUCGAAUCCUAGUUGAUUCACAUUUCCAGCUAAGUUUAUUUCUAAAUGAAAUAAACGAAACGGGUUGCGUGUUACCUAUCUCUCAAAAAAAAAAAAAAGUUCUUUCAACAGUUAGGCUUUUUUUAUAUAUAGGACCGUAAAUCUUACAUCUCUUUCGUUCAAGAGUCCACAAAUUUUUUUUAAAGAUUUUUCAGUAUUGAAAUUUUAUAUGUACAUCUUAUAUAUAGGUAUCAAUCUUACCCCUCUUCCAUCAAAUAGCCCAAUUUUUUUUUAUUUUUUUAAUAUUAGAAAAAAAUUGAUAAGNAUAUAUAUAUAUAUAUAUAUAUAUAUAUAUAUAUAUAUAUAUAUAUAUAUAUAUAUAUAUAUUGGUAAUUUCAUAACAAAUUAACAAAAAUAAAGGAUAUAUAUAUAUAGAAACAAGGGUGUUUAUAUUUUCAGUGUAUUUUUACACUAUUUCUCUUUGAACUUCAGUGGAAAUGUUAAAGGUUUCAGAUCCAAUCAAAAAGCUUAAGCUACAUAUCUGGUGAAAAAAAAAAUCUAUACUGACCAUAAAUCUAAUUUGUAUUUAUAUGGAUUUAAUACUUUUAACGCAAAUGAUCGUAUUUUUUUUAAACAAGAACAAAUCUCUUUACUUUUGUAUCAUGUGCUUACAAGCAAUAUGAACUUACAAGUAUAUAGCAAUUUCUAGAUUAAAACAGAUAUCAUUGUACCAUUUUUUUUUUCCCUAAAAGGUAAAAUUUUAAAAGUGUUUUAUCUUCUUCAAGGAGAUAGAUUGCCUAUUGACCAUAAUCUUACUCCAAUAUUUUUAUCAUAAGUAGCAAAAAAACUUAAUGGUUGGUAUCUGAAAUCGUAAUUAAGUUUCGAAUCUAAUUUUUUUCUCAUCUCCAGCUAAGUUCAUUUAUAAAAAUAAAAUUGAACGAAGUGGACAGCAUACUGCUAUUCUGUCAAAAAAAAAGAUAAACUUUAGUUUGCCCUCCUAUAAUUUAGUUUUCUGUGAUUUAAAAAAUUAUACUUAACUAUCCUGUAAUUUAACUUACUUUUAUUUUGUUACUCUGUGAUUCAAAAACUUACUACUAUAUGGUUGCCAAAAAAUUUUACUUUGUUACUAUAUUUGAUAGUAAAUUUUUUUAUAUUAAAAUGGAGAUAAAAUUAUAAAAUAAUUAAGUAUAACUUUUUCAAUCAUAGAAUAGAAUGAUAAAGUAAAAAAUAAGUUAAUUAGGAGAUAAAUUAAAAUUUAUUCAUAUUCACUACAACAGAAUUAGGUUAUAGGGACACAUACUUAGGACACUUUUGUGUAAGUGUCCCAUUUAUGCCAAAACUUAAAAAAAUAUCUACUAAUGCUUAAAUAUAAAGCCCAAUCCAACAAAAAAUAAAAGGUUACUCUACUCAACCUACCCCAUUCAACCUAUUCGGCCUGAUUACAAAUAGAAAAGAAAAAAAAAGAAAAAUCGAUUACAAUCUCUCCUUCUCCUCUCACUUAAUCCACUGAAAUUCUAGACGAAUAGCCCUUCCCUCUCGUCCUCCACCGCCACCGCAGCCAACAAAAUAGAGUUUCGGUGGUUGAUUAAUGCUUAAAUAAAUAUUAGUAAAUUAGCAGCACUCUUUUUAGGUUAUAGCGACACUCUUUAACUGUCACUAUAUACCUAGCGACCCCACAUAUAGCAACACUUUUUAAAAGUAUCGGUAAUUUAGCCAGCAACACUUAUUUUGACUUAUACCGAUAUUUAAAAUUAUCGUUAUAGACUAUUUUUGUUGUAGUGAUUUUUAAUGCGUUAGAAAUACUUAUUUGUUUUAAGCCAAUAAUAAAACUCCAAUGAUGAGGCCUCGACAAACUCAGCAUUUCCUCCAUAAAGGGGCCGUUUGGUUGGAUGUAGUUGCAGAAACAGUGUAGUUGGAAAUACAUGCAGUUGUAAAUGCUGCAGUUAUAACUACACCUAGUCUGUUUGGUUUUACGCAGUUGCAACUGCUGCAGUUAUAUUUCUUCUAUUUGGUAAUAUGAAGCUGAUAGUUGUAUUUAUGAAUUUUGUCACCUCUUCAGAUAAAGUGGUAAGGUUACCUUCACUAAACAUAAAAUAAUUGUAUAAAUUUAUUAAUUAUUUAAAUUUACUAUUUAUAAAUAAAUAAGUAGAUAUAUAUAAUAUUUUUAUAUUUUUCAAUAAUUCUUCAACUUAUUAAUCGACACAUUUAAAAUUUUUAAUUUAUUUAAUUUUAAUAUGUAAAUCAAACUUUAAAAAUUUAAACGAUUCUCUCAUUUUUUUUUAUCAAAUUUAAUAAUUAUAAUUAAUUAAAACUUAUUAAAUUAACAUAGACGAUCACAUUCUAUAAAAAUUUAAAAAAAAAAACUAUAUUUAUAUUUUAAAUAAAAUAAAUUUAAAAAAAUUAAUUUUUUGCACAAAGCUUGUAUUGUCUAAAAAAUUUUAUUAGUAUGAGUUUAUUUAUAAGUAUUUUUAUUUACCUAUAUACAUAUAUUAUUUAUUUAUUUAGCUAUUUAUUUAUUUAUUUAUUAUUAUUAAUUUGCGGGUAAUCCUAUCCCUCACCAACUGCUGCAGUUGGAACUACGACCAAUUUGGAUGUAGUUCCAACUGCAGCAUUUGGGCCUUCUUGUGCAGUUGGAACUGCAGCAGUUGAACUCAACUACACUAAACCAAACAAAGGAAUUGUGGCUGCACGCAUUUGCAACUGCACUGCAGUUGCAAAUGCGUACAACCAAACAGCCCCAAAAAGUAGAGCUACAAUUAAUAUCCCGUGGUGAUGAAGAAUAUGCCAUAUGUAUGUUCCACAAAAGGUAGAUCGACAAUUAAGCUUUUCUUUUAUUAUUAUGUCCUUAUGAAGUUGAUUGAUCAUCAAUCAUUGUGGGCUUAUCUUAUGAAAAUCUAGAAUAAGCUUAGUUUCUCUUCAAGCUCAGUGAGACACUUGAAAAUAUAAUAUUCCGUCCGCUAGCAAUAAUAAUUUGUUACGUCCAAAUCGCUGACCUAAAAUAUUUAAGUCAAUUAUUAUUACUAGAGUGUUUUUCACUUAUAAACCCAUCACACUCUCCCACAUUAUCCAAUGUGGGACUAUUGAGACCCUAACGUCCUCGUUAGUUCGACCCGAUCACACUCAUGAUCUCAAAUUCACCAGGCGAUGUGAGAUCCAUCUCACAUUUUCGGCAGGUUAUUGUCUCUGAUAACAAAUAUAACGACCCGACCUGCUAGUAAAAAUAACUCAUUUGGUCCAAACUACUGGCCCAAAAUAUUUAAUCCCAAUUAUUUUAUAGUGUGUCUGUUAUUUAUAAACCUUUCACACUCUUCCAUAUUAUCCGGUAUGAAACUAUUGGAAAGUCACAAAAACUAUUGAACUAGACUAGAAGACUAUUAAUAGCACUAAGUCAUCGGUGCUAUUAGAUUUUCGGCCUUUGGAUAAAGAGAUGUGUUGUUAGAAUAAUAGUGCACAUCUAGGGUUAAGUGGGGGUUUGUGGAAUAACAUAAUCUAAGUGAAAAUGGUUAAAGGAAUAGAUUUAAUGGCAGAAAAUUUAGUGGUACCAAGUAUUUGUUACUAUUAAUGGCAUACUAUAUAUAUAUAUAUAUAUAUAUAUAUAUAUAUAGAGAGAGAGAGAGAGAGAGAGAGAGAGAGAGAGAGAGAGAGAGAGAGUAAGGCUACUAUGCUAUCGGAAGUAUGGAGCUUUCCGUACUUCCAGCUCGUUUUCGAUGUUACGACCUUCGAAUCAUCGAUCGGCUGCGUUAAACUUGAUCUAGAGUAUAUAUAUAUAUGUGUGUGUGUGUGUGUGUGUGUGUGUGUGUUUGUACCUUAGGUAAAUUAGGAGAGUUGACCAUUCUCUUCUUUUCUCUCUUUACAUGCAUCUUCCUAACAAAAAUAAUUUAGAUAUAUAUUUCCAUGCAUUUUUUUAAAUUUAAAUAUUAAUUCAUUUGAGGUGUAGGUGAGGCUUUAAAAGAAAAUGACUGGACCACAAUUGGACAAGGGACAUGGAUUUUUGGGAUUGUGUGGUUGUGACAAAGAGUUGCUCAAAAUAUAAUUAAGGUAAAAAUGUAUAAAAUUGAUCUUAACUAUUAGUGAUCAUUUGGACCUUACUAUUUAACCUAAAAGAGUCUAAUUUUACCAUCUAAGUUUUUGAUUAUUUAUUUGAGCCAACUAGUGAUUUUUUAACUUCAAAUUUUGAGUACAUAUUUUAUCUUUAAUGAUUUAAUUACUAUAUUUUAUAAAAUUUACGUAGCUAUAAUUUUUUUCAAAUAAACAAUUAGCUUAAAUUAUAUGUUUGAAAAGUCAUCAAAUUAUUUAAAUAAAAUAAAUUUAAAGGUGGCAUAGUAAAAUGAAAAUUUUAAAAGAUUACAUAGUCGAAACAAAUGGUCUAUAAUUCCGGUAAUUUAUACAUUUUUACCUAUAAUUACAAUAGAGACAAAAUUAAUUAAAUGUUUUUUUUUUAAUGAUACACUUUAACUUAUGGAUACAAAUAGAUGCAUGUGGAUUGUGAAAGGGAAAUGGGAACAACUCUAUGUACAACAGAUCCAAAAUAAUGCAGUGGGUGAUUUAUGAGAGGCCACACACUGAGUAAUUGCUUGAUGCAGUAAUUGGUACACCUCAAAAUAAAAAUAUAUAAAACUUAUCUGAAUUGUAGAGCCUUUUUAUUCAAGUAUAUGCUCUUUUAAAAUUUUCAUUUGAAUGCAUAAUUUUUAAUUUAUUUAAUUUACAUUAGUAUAUGGUUCUUCUGAUAUACAAUUUAGCCUACUAUUUAUUCUACUAAAAUUUAUAAUUACAUAAAUUGUAUAAAAUAUACUAAUUAAACUUAUAAAGAUAAAUGAUUCAUUCAAAUUUUAAAGUUAAAAAGUCAGGGACUCACUUGAAUCAGAAAACUUAAAAUGUUAGAUAGUAAAAUCAAAAUUUUUUUAAAUAUUAGAGAGUCAAAUUAAACUGUGUUAUAGUUGAUGUAAGUUCUACACUUUUUUAUCUAGGCUAAAAUUUUAGAGGUAUAAUGUAAAUUAAGAGUAACCUAUAAAGAGUUCGCUUGAUAUUAAGAACCGAUUAAUAUUAUUGGACGAAAAAGAGUUAGGAUAACAGCAUAUAUGUUAAGACAAGUUUUUCCAUAUUAUGUGGAAUCAUAAAAUUUAUAUUUUAAAUAAAUCAUUGUGAUCUAUGUAAUAUAUUAUCAACUUAUAAAAAUAAAUAAAUAUAUUUUUAUCGCACUUUCUGGCGGCAUGUAAUGCACUCUUUCCCCCACAAUUUCAAACAAAGACUUGGCCUUUAAUUUGCUAACUAAAAUUAUUGCUCCUAAAAUUAGACGUAAAAAUGUAGAGGGAACCCCUCAACUAGAGCUGAAUUUUGAAAUAUGCCCAUCAAAUUUUUCUUGGUUGGAGUGACAGUUCCUAGCACCAGCGGUGAAGAGCUUAAUUAAUUGUUGGUACCCGAGAUGAUAAAUUCGAAGUCUAAUUGCAUCACAGUUUCAGCUAAAUUCAAUAAAAUAGAUAGCAUGUUAUCUUUCUUUAAAAGAAAGAAGAACCCUUUUCUUGGUUGGAUCCACACUUUUUUCUUUUUUUCGAGGAUAAGUAAUUUGUACUAGUUAAACAAGAAACUUUGUUAAAUUUAUCACUAUUUCUAAUAAAUUUAACUAUUCAGAACAACUUUUUAGCUGAUAUAAUCGUAGAAUUGAGGAUUUCACUGAUUAUGAGCAGCUCCCAAAGCCAUUAAUUUGAACGAAUCUCUAACUCAUUUUUUUUUUUUUUUUUAUUGAGAGAAAAAUCUCUAACUCAAAUUGGAAUAAUGAAAAGUUAAGAAACUAUAUAUUGUAACGAGGGAAAGUAAAGGAUCAGGAGAAAUUAUUUAUAGUUUGAGGGGAAAUUAACUCCACACAUUUUCACCAUAAAUUCGAAUGCGAACACUUGUGGGCUACACUUGGGACUACACUUAGCAAUGGGGGAUCGAGUCCACGUACGUGACAUGAUCUCUAACCACUCCCUUUCUUUGGAAUGGAGUUCUAACAAACGAGCUACAUAUAUAUAUUAUAUGAUAGUGAAACAACAUGAAAGAAAUUGUAUAUAAAAAUGAUGAAUAAUAGUAAUAAUAAUGGGGAAAUAAAACCAACUCGCCAAAUCACUAAUCAAGGGGGCCAUCUACCGUGUGGAAGUGAACUUGAGAAAUGUGACCAUCUUUUCUGCACGUGUUCAGGCCGCAACUCAUCCACAGGACGCAGACCACUGACGGUGUAAAAGAGUUAUCGAAUGAACAUUCUCAGAAGACUUUAGGCCACUUAGUGGGUCACCUAGAUUAAUUGAGAGAAAUAACACAAUUUUUAAAAUUUUAAUUUUACUAUCUAUUUUUUAAUUUGUUUUAGUUGAGUCAGUUAACGGCAUUUUGAUUCUAAAAUUUAAGCUAAUUGACUGGCUUAAAUCAAAUAAAUUGAAAGAUUAGAUAGCCAAAUCCAAAUUAUCUAUAUACAGUUCAUAUAAAUUUUAUAUGCUUUAUACCUUUUCAUUUUGGUCCUCAAAUAUUCAUACUAGUGGUGCUAUUUGUAUUUUAUAUAUAUAUAUAUAUAUAUAUAUAUAUAUAUAUAUAUAUAUAUAUAUAUAUAUAUAUAUAUAGAGUGAGGCUACUAUGCUAUCGGAAGCACGGAGCCUUCCGUGCUUCAGCUCGUUUUCGAUGUUGCGACUUUCGAAUUGUCGAUCGGCUCCGUAACUUGAUCUAGAGUAUUUGAAGUACCUCAAAAAUAAAUUUUAUGAUUUUACGAUAUCAUUUGCCUAGUGAACGAAGGGCUCAAAACAACGGCUGAAAUAAAAAUCUUACAAAAUGUAAUAAUAUGACAUUAAAAUUUUAAAUCAAAUAUAUUGAUCUUGUUUUAUAUAGUAUAAAAAAUUUUCUAUCAAAACUUCACGUGAUUUGGAUAUUUCUAUACCGUUAAACUUGCAAACGGCUCACUACGGCCAUUGAAAUUUGUUGAUUUUGAGCCCAUUUGAUCACUAGGCAAAUGAUAUCGAAAAAUAAUAAAAUUUAUUUUCUAGAUACUCCAAAUACUCUAGAUCAAGUUUAACGGAGCCGAUCGACGAUUCGAAAGUCGCAACAACGAAAACGAGCUGGAAGCACGGAAGGCUCCGUGCUUCCAAUAGCAUAGUAGCCUCACUCUCUCUCUCUCUCUCUCUCUAUAUAUAUAUAUAGAGCUAGGCUGGUAUACUAUCGGCUACCAAGUUGUUUUCAAUGAUGCGGCUUCCAAAUCGACGAUCGGCUCUGUUAGACUUAAUCUACACUAUUAAAAGUAUUUGGAAACUAAAUUUCAUAAUUUUUCGACAUUAUUUGGCUAGUGAUCAAAAGGUCUCAAAAUUGACAAUUUUAAUGAUUGAUGUGAUGCGUUUGUGAAUUUAAUGGCGUAAAACAAUCCAAAUUUGAUGAAAUUUUUAUAGAAAAUUCUUUUCACUAUUUAGAGUGAGAUCAGUACCUCUGAUCUUAAUGAAAUUUUUAUUUUCGGCCGUUUAUUUUUAGACUACUCGUUUCAUAGGUAAAUGAUGUCAAAAAAUUAUGAAAUUUAGUUUCCAAAUAUUUUUAAUAGUACUAUAGAUCAAGUCUAACGGAGCCGAUCGUCGAUUUGAAAGCCGAAUCAUUGAAAACAACUUGGUAGCACGGAGGCCUCCGUGCUACCGAUAGUAUACCAGCCUAGCUAUAUAUAUAUAUAUAUAUAGAGGUGCAUCACUCUUUUCCUCACAAUAAAUCCAAUAAUAACACGGUUUCCACUGUGAACUAAGCUAAGCCCCUCUCCUCUUCUUCUUCUUCGUUUUCUUCUUCUUCUUCUUCUUCUUGUUGCUUUGGGAGGUGUAGCCAUGGGUGGCCACUCAUGCUUUGAGGAGUACAAACCUGGAGUGGCAAUGGUGGCCGUGCAGUGCAUCUACGCGGCCAUGUCGCUCUCGGCAAAGGCCGCGUUUACGGAGGGGAUGACCCCCAUGGUGUUUGUGGUCUAUAGGCAAGCCAUUGCCACCCUAGUAUUGCUUCCUGCAACCAUCCUCACAAAAGGGUUCUCUCUCUCUCUCUCUCUCUCUCUCUCUCUCUCUCUCUCUCUCAUGUUGUUUAUAUUCAGCUUGUAUGUUCAUACACUCAAUCUUUUAUCACAUCUCCUACUUUAUUCUCACAAAAGAUUUUCUCUCUCUCUCUCUCUCUCUCUCUCUCUCUUGUUAAUUGUAUCUAGUAUAUCUACUUGUAUGUUCAUACACGAUACUUGUCGGUCCUUUAUUACAUCUCAUACUGAAUUGAACCAUAUUCCUUUAAGCCUACGUGAAAUAACUGUAAUUUACUAAACGAUCGAUAGAAAUUAAAGUAUGAAAUCAGAUGGAAAAAAUUAUAUAGGUGAAACACACACAAAUGAACAAUAAUACUCUCUAGAUCUCUCUCUCUCUCUCUCUCUCAUAUUUCCUUUUGGUCUGUACCUGAUGCAUCUUUCAGUGUAUUCCGCAUUCAUCAUUUCUAUUCUAUCUAAUUCAAUCAAUUAUUCGACAAUACGUAACCUCGUUGGAUAGUAGAGAUUGAAUUAUAAGAUAAGAUGCAUAACUGAUAAAAGUAUGCAUGUGAUACAUAUGUACAAAUUAGGUACAAACACAAAAAAGUAUUUAUCUUUCUCUCUCUUAAUUAGCUAGUUGUUGAUGUUUGUGUAGGGGAAGGCUAAGUGACAUGGCAGUAGGAACGAGGGGAUUUGCUUUGGUGUUUGUGACCUCCCUUAUUGGGUAAGUAAUUAAUUAAAAGAAAAAAGAUCUCCAUAUAUAGCUAUAGACCUUUUUGUAUGGAUUCUUUUUUUCCAAAAAAAAAUAAUUAAUUUUUUUUAUUUGUUUAAAAUUAACAGUGGCACACUCAAUCAAUUCUUAUACUAUCAAGGAUUACAUUUGGCCUCUUCAUCAGUAGCAACUGCUAUGGUCAAUCUCACACCAGCUGUCACUUUUGUUAUGGCUGCUUCUGUUGGGUAAUUAAGUUCCUCACAUUAUUUAUUUUUUAUUCAAAAUUUAAUUUAAUUAUUUCUCUUUUUUUUAGAAAAUUUGUCUUUUGUUUUAUGUUUCUUGUUUGUUUUUUUUAUCAAGAAGUGUUCUAGAAGAUUCUAAGCUUUGCUAUGGCCCUUUUGUCUUUUAAUUAACUUGCACUCUGGGCUAAUUAGCUAGAAGAUCUACCAUCACUGUAAAUAUAGAGAAGUGUGUGUAAAAAUAGCAUUACUCUUAAUAAAAUGUGAUUAGAGAUAUUAUUUCAAAUCUUGUUAUUUCAAAACUCAAACAUUCUUUUUAUAAAAAAAGUAUAUAUAUUUGACACAUCUACACAAAGUGAUGCCUUAUAAAUCCUACUUUUGAUAUAUCUACACAUGAGUCCGACUACUAUACUCUUGUGAUCAGUAUAGUCUCCUUUAUACUCAUAAGUUUUCGACCGUUAGAUCUAACUUUUUGACCAUUUUCAUUUAUUAGAUUACACAAUUCAAUUAACCACCAAUUCAACCCUAAGAGACCACUAUUAUCCUAAUCGGUGAUCAUUAUCAUCCUAACCGCACAUCCCUUCAUCCAACAGUUGAAAACUCAUGAGUACAAAAGGCUCUAUACUUAUAAGAGUAUAGUAGCUCUAGCCAUCUACACAUGUCAUACAUACAUUUAAAGUUUAUCUUAAUAUUUUGAAUAGUGUUAACAUAAAUCCCUGGCUCCAUUUUCUACAAGUUCGGUUUUUUUGGGUUUUCCUUUGUGUUUGUGAGGUUGUUAAUUUGUCUCCACCUUCAAUUCUUUCAUUAUAUGUAAUAGUUUUUUAAUUUACAUAUGUUAUGCAUGUGAGUAGUGCGGAUGUUAAUAUAUAUUUCUGGACCAGUUUUUUUUAAAAAUCGAUCUUUUGGGUAAAUGGAAUGCCCCCACUUGAAUUUUGAAUCAUGCAAAUGUAGUGUAACAUGGGCAUGUGUUUAGUACCUGUACCUACGAGCAUGUGCUAUUGUAGAAUCAUCUCAUUUUGGGUCCGUAAGCUUUCUAAUGUAUUAGAAAUUACAAAUUCAAAUAUUAACAUAUUAGAGUAUGAACAAAUCCCUAAUGCAUUAUUUUAUUUUUUUUUUUUUUUUUUUGGAGAAUAGGUAGCAGGCUACCUGCUUCAUUCAUUGAAGAUAUAAAUUAGGCUACAGGGGUGAGGCAACCAGGGCCUCGAAAGAAGAAAAACCACGAAAAAAAAAAAAAAUCAAGAGAGGCCUUUCCAAAAAACAAUCGGCUGCUUGAGCCUUCCCACCAUUAAUUACCUAACUUAUUAUUGGCAUAAUAAGUUAGGUAAUUAUUCUAUAUGAUUAAAAUUGGAUUAAUUAUUCUCUAGUUUAUAGAGAAUAAAGUUGGAUUAAUUUCUAAUAGCUAACUUAACCAUAAAAUUCAACAAAAUAUUUAAUUUCAACUAACAAUAAAAACUCAAUUAAAAAAAAAAAUAGAAGUUAAAGCUAAUUCGAGGUCUCCGUAAAUUUUUCCCAAUUAUUUAUGAAUGUUAGGAUAAUUUUGAUGUUAUUGUAGAAUUAUUUCAAUUAUUUAAAGAAUUAAUGACAUAAAAAAUCUGUGUCCCAUGAUGCUGAAAAGUUUUCUUUUUCCCUUUAUUUCUCAACAUAAUCCAGUGUACAUACAAAAAACAUUUUAGGUUUAGAGCUUAUUCUAUAAAUUAAGCUGUAAUUUGGACUACUUUCAUAUCAUAUAUUUACUCUCCUAUUGUUACAAAUUUCUUGUACUUUUACAUAAAACUUUUCUCUUUUUUUUUUUAUUUAAAAAAACUAAAUCCUAACUAAAAAUGUUAUACCAGAUUAGAGAAAGUGAAUCUGAGAAGCUUGAGAAGCAUGGCUAAGGUGAUUGGGACUAUUAUUUGUGUCGGUGGAGCUAUUUCGAUGGCGUUUUUUAAAGGUCCAAAGCUUCUAAAUGCGGAUUAUCACAAGCUAAUCACACUUCUACACUCGGUGACCGACAAAUGGAUCGCAGGCGCGCUAUUUCUCAUUGGCAGCAGUUUUUGCUGGUCACUUUGGCUCAUCUUGCAGGUACUAGAUUUGCUUUGCGCUUCGAAAACUAAAGAGAACUAAAAACUUCAAACAUUUGUAUUUUUAUUCUACCAGGUGCCACUUUGCAAAUCGUAUCUCGACCCGUUAUCGCUGUCGGCGUGGAUGUGCCUCUUAUCAACUUUUCAGUCAGGUAUACUCACAUUCUUCCUGUUACCGGAUUUGAGUGCUUGGAGAAUUACUUCUCUUAUCGAACUCUUCGCUUGCAUAUUCGCGGUAAGUUUUUGUUAGCGAAAAGUUUCUUCUUUUUGAAAAAGAACAGUUUUAUCAUCUGUAAACUAUAUGUGUAGGGUAUAUUUGGAUCAUGUGUUACCUACUGUCUCCAAACUUGGUGUGUAUCAAAAAGGGGGCCUUUGUAUUCUGCAAUGUUUAAUCCCCUUUGCACUGUAAUUACUACGGUUUCGGCUUUCUUUGUGCUUCAUGAAGAACUUCACAUUGGAAGGUACACGACGUUACCAGUUUACUUCUCUUGUUUCAGAAUAUGAUAAAACAUAUCAUCAGAGAAAUAUGAAAUUCGAUAUCUUGAAACAAAAUUAAGUAGUUUUUUUUUCAUUUUUCUGUACUGUCGCAGCUUGAUCGGAGCUAUUGCGGUUGUCGGAGGGUUGUAUGUAGUGUUAUGGGGCAAAGCUGAGGAUCUGAACAAGAUUAAGCCAAUUCCUAGCGACGGUCGGACGAAGAUCGCAAUCAUUGUAGAUGCGCGACAUGUCAGUGGCGAGAGUGCUGUCAGAGAACCCCUCAUUGCAGAAAAAGCGCAGGUUGAAAGUUAGAUGAAAAAUGUGUAUGCAUGAGUUCAAUUUCUGUUCUUUAUUUAUUUUGGGCUGUAAUAACAUGAAAGGUCUCUCAUACUAUUCGCGAAUUUCAAUCUCUUCUUUGCCUUUAAAUUAAAAAAUAACAUUUGAGUUGAGUACGGAGUUGCGGGAAUUUACUACAUGGCCCAAGUGACUACACAUACUCGGAGCAAAGGCGCAAGAACAUUCACUUUCUACACCACAUUUUGAAGAUCCACUAUAAAACAAACUUACCAUCGAAAAAGAUAAGCAGCAGCAGUUUACGAACUCGAUCUUUAAAGGUCACAAAAAUACAAAAAUAAAAACUCUUAACUUGAAUCUUCUGCUUCUGCACUUAAAUCUUCUGCUUCUGCUGUAUCAACUUCUAAAUCAUCGGACUACAAGGAACAGAAACACAAUGUUUUGCACGACAUCAAUAGCCUAGAUCGUACGAGUUGUUUCUUAAAACAGAGAUUUCACGUAUCAUAUAUAGUGGAAAAUGAAUACAACAAAGCCACAAGAAUAAGGAAAGAAAAGAACAGAACAGAAGCCCGCCGACAACUUUAUACAAUACCAAGUCCUACAUUAGCUCUAAUGAAUACAGUGAAAGCAACUAAUACAACAAAUGAGCCACGGAAAACAACAUGGAUACAACAGCUAGAUAUGUACUAAAGCUAGCACGUAAACGACAAAUCAAUACCAUCUGCGAUGUACAAAAGUUACAGAAGAAACAUAACAGAAAAAGAAAACAAUACUAGUAAAUCCACUGACAUAGGAGGCGAGAAGGAAGUCCUCUAAGGAUAUCUUCCUUUCCAUCCACCGUAGCCGUACGCAUUGUCGCGCCGAAUGUUCCGGAAUGCGCAGCAUCCGACCGAGUAGACCAUGAUGAGGAAGACGAGGACGACAAUAUUUAUGAUGGCGACCUUCUUCCAGUCCUUCUUGAUGUUGGCGAGCACGCCGGCCUUGCAGGACUGGCAGCCAUAGCAGAGGGUCGACGGGUCGUUGUUCCACGCCGAGCAGUCGGUGUUGUUGGUCGAGGUCAAUGUCGUGGAGUUCACGGUCCACACAGUUGGACUCACAUAGGUGAAGUCGCAUUCGGUGGGCGGUUUGCAGCAUCCAGACUACAGAGAGAGAGAGAGAGAGAGAGAGAGAGAGAGAGAGAGAGAGAGGCAAGUUAAAAAAAGUUAUUAGGGCAAGAGUGCUAAAAAUAACAUAUGAGCUAUGGUCUAUGAUUUAGUUUGGAUUGUUAGUUAUACAAAUGGCCUAAAGUGACUCAGAAAAAGUAGUAUCAGAAACUGGAGCAUCCCAGUAAGUAUUAGGAGAUGAUUUAGAUGAUUUGAAAAGAAUGUUACCAAACAUGAUUUAGAUGAUUUGAAAAAAAUGUUACCAAACACUCGAAACUGAAAUUGUUUGAGAUGGCCUCUGAGAUGAGGAAAGAUGCAGUUUACAAAGAAAAUUUGAAACCUAGUUGUCUCAAUUUCGCUUAUCAGAAUUUGAAUUUAUAUCACAGCUAAGAGCGUGAUGCAAAAGCAGAGUUGGAAACCCAAAAAGAAAGGUAAAACCAGGAUCAACCAAAACAGAAAAGAUAAACUCAGAUAACUCAGAAAGGUACUUUUGAUAAAAGAAUCACCUACAAAGUCACCUACAAAGUUGAGAGGACCUGGUGACCGAAUCAAGAACUUUAGCAUAAACGUAAAAUAAAGCUAAUAUUAAACAUUGCUAGAUGAUCAAAGGCAAAAGAUACCGAGAAUCUGAAAAAGAACAGAAGUUCAGUUCAAUUAAAUACACAAUUGAUGUCCAAUUUACCAGAUAAGGAAACUAAGAAAGGUGCCUGUUUAAUUUCUGAGAAGUUCCAACAUUUUCUGAGAAGUAAAAUUCAAGUGAAGUAAAAUUUUCUGAUGUUCACUUGAACUUGUUAUCUGGUAAAAUUCAAGUGAACAUAAGUGGAAACUAAGAAAGGUGCCUGUUUCCGUCUAUACGAAAAGAAGACUAAAUCAGAAAGAAAUUAAAGUACGAAUUUGAUCAGAGGAAGAACAAUCUCAGAACUAGAAGCAUCAGGACUUAAUAAUGAGGCAAUUUAUUUACCAAUGGGACCACACACCUGAACAAAAUGAGAGUACAAUAUAUGGUCCAUAUGAACAAAGAGACAUGUAAUAUUGGAUAAUUAGGGCAAGUUACAAGAGCAAUUUAGAAUGGAUAGUUAGAGAACAUUUUAAGAAACAAAAAGAAUUUAGAACUAAUGCGCGAAAACGUCAGUUUAGAAGUGAAGUACUCAAACAUAGAUAGCAGAUUAAUGAAAAUACUAAACUAGUUGUGCUCAGAAUCAUCAGAAACAAAAACAAAAGAAUGUUUUGAAGAACAUGGCUUCUAAGAUACAUAAAAUUCCUUACAAAGUUCUUUGAUAACAUAUCAAACAAUGUUAAAUUACUAAUCAGAACAGUAAGAGACAGAUUUUAUGAUAUAAUUAACAAAUUGUUAAUAAGAGUUAGCACCUACAAUAUCCCUAGUCUAAUUAAAAAAUCAGGAUCGAGGAAUAUUUUUGUAACCCUUCAAAGAAAAAAAAAUGUACAUAGUAAAACAAAGAUAUCAAAACUGCAAAAAAAAAUAUUUUGCAAUAGCAAAUUGACAAAUUUUGCACGUCUAGAACAGUAAAAGACAAAUUAAAAAUAAAAAAGGUGCCCAAAAAAAAAAAACCUAAAACGGAGCGUAGCCAUUAUGUAGACGGUUAAUCUACAACCAAAACCACCUGGUAAGUUAAAUUCUACUAAAAUUCACCCAAAAAAAAAAGAAGAAUCCCAAAAAUCCCCCCAAAAUCCACACAACAACAACAACAACAACAGCAGCAGCAGCAACGAGAUGAGAAGACAUGAUCUACAAUUAACCGUUUCGAGCCAAUCAUACCUGAAUCGGGGAGAGAUUGUCCCUGAUGAACUGAUCGAAGGUCUCGUUGCCCUGCUGGAGCCGCUCGCAAAUCUUAGAGUCCUGCAAGCAGCUCCGGAUCUUGGCCCAGUUCUUGGAGUUGUCGACGCGCUUCUGGAGCCAGUGGGAGUAGUCGCCGAGGCGGUACUCCUUGAACCCGCGGUUGGAGACGGCCUCGCCGGCGCCCUUGUUGGUGACGAGGAAGGCGAAGAGGGUGAAGGCGAAGAGGAGGAGGAUGAGGAGGAACAUGGCGACAAGGUAGAGCCAGAGGAGGAGGGAGGCCCUGCAGCAGGCGCCGACGAGGCCGGCGAGGGAGACGAGCAUGAGGAAGGCGCCGAGGACGAUGAGCGGCACCGUGAGGAAGCGCUCGCACUCGGUGCCGGACCCGCCGCCGCGGGUGGCGAGCCACACGCCGCCGCCGAGCACGGGCACGGAGAGGAGGAAGGUGAGGAGGUUGAGCACCCCGAUGAGGUUGUUGCUGAGCCUAAACAUCGCGAUCCACCCCAACCAAUGCCCACGCGUAGCACUCCGAGGAUGAUGAGGUCGUGGUAAUGGAGAUAGAUAGAGAGAGAGAGAGAGAGAGAGAGAGAGAGGAGUGGGGACGAAGACGAAGAGGGAGAGGGAGAGGGAGAGGGGGUUUAUAAGGAUUGUGAAGCCGUGUGAUGAUGAGUGGUUGGUGGAGGAGAAGGAGAGGGGAAAAUGUUCGCGUACGGUUUCUGGGGGGGACCCGCUGCUUUGAGAUUCGCGCAGGUCUGCGAGAUGAACGAUGCAUGUGAUCGUCUCACGUGGGGAUCGUGAUUUUUAUUCUGAGGUGAAGGGGAAGGGGUAGAACCGUAAAAAGGUGGCGAGCGUUAUAUAACGCGGAAGUGGUUUCCCCCCGUAACAGUUAAUUUCGUAUAAUAAUAUAUACAUUCUAAAGUAAAUAUUUUUAUAUUUUUAUCAUAAAACUAUGCUGCAACCUUAUUAAUAGCACCAAGUUAUUAGUAUUAUUAAAUUUUCGAUUCUUAGAUGAUGCGAUAUAAGAUUAGGAUGAUAAUAGCACCCUUAAAUUUGAAUGAGUGGUUGUUUGAAUAGUAUAAUCUAACGUAUUGAAAUUAUGGUAAAAGAAAUUCAUCUAUCAACAGAAAAUUUAAUAGCACAAGUGCUUAGGGCCUGUUUGUUUCGAGAAAAGUGGGGUGGAAGUGGGACGGGGAAAGUGACUUUCGGUGAAAAACUGACCACUUUCGUUGUUUGGUUCACCGUAAUUUUAUUACGCCCGAAAGUCCAGUUCACCUAAAAUAAUGAACUUGACUUCGCCCUCCCAUUGGGCGAAAUCAAUUCCGGUGAAGUGAAAAAAAAGCAAGAAUGGAUUAAUGUGUUAAGGUUACCUCUUCUAAAAUAUGAUCAAAUUUGAUUAGGUAAGCUUUAAUAUAUUUUUUGUUUAAUUUGUACAUUUAGAAAAUGAUGAAAAAUGAAUUUGUUAAAUGUUAAUAAUUUUUUAACUUUUAGAAUUUUAUUUGUUGCAUUAUUAUAAUUUAUAUGCAAACAAAUAAUAUAAUUUUUUUUAAAUUUUAUUUUAUAAUUAUACAUAUAUAAAAUUAUAUACAUAUAUAAUUAUAUUAAUUUUAUUUAUUAUAAUUUAUUAUUCACUAUAAGUUACAAAAUAGACAAUGAUAUCACUUUGGAGGUAAGUAUACCGGGGGUGGAGAGCUACACUUUUUACGUCAUCUACUUCCUACCAUACAAACAAUAGAACUCGCAGAACUGCACUUCCACAGUUAGAAACAAACAGCAGAAGUGAUCUAAUUUUCACCCCAACUCCACUUCAACUCAAAGUCCACUUCCACCCCAAGUCUACUUACAUUGAAACAAACAUGCCCUUAGGGCAUGUUUGUUUGGAUGGAAGUAGGGUGGAAGUGGAGAAGAGGAAGGUCGUUUUCACCCUAAACGACCACUUCCGUUGUUUGGUUCGUCAUAAAAAGUUACGGUCGAAACUCGAGUUAAUCUCAAACGGCGUAAUUAACUCCGCCCUAUCGUAGGCCGAAAUCAAUUACGGUGAAGAAAGGUGAAAAAAAAUAAUAAAAUAAUAUAAUAGAUAAAGCUAGUUAUAUUUAAAUAUAUUUAAUUAUGAUACUAAUUAUUUUUUUAUUCAGUUAAUAUAUCUAAAAUAUGAUAAAAAUUGAUUAAUUAAGUAUUAAUAUUUUUUUAUUUUAUAAUUUUAUUAUUGUAUUACUAUAAUUUAUGUAUAAAAAAAUAAUUUAGUUAUUUUAAAUUAAAUUUUAAUUAUAUAAAAAUAUAAUUAUAUUAUUUUUAUUUAUUAAAAUAUUUAUUAUUUAUAUAUAAAUUAAAAUUUUAUACUAUACACUUUCUAUCAAACAAACAGCAGAACUGAUGAAACUUCACUUUUAUAACUACAAAACAAACAGCGGAGAAGAAGUAGUUUUCACCGAACUCGAAACAAACAGCGGGAAAGAAGUCGUUUUCACCGAACUCGAAACAAACAGUGGGGAAGAAGUCGUUUUCACUGAACUCCAGUUCAACCCAAAGUCCAGUUUCGGUGAAUAUUGUGUAUUAAUAUUAAGGGUCAAAUGCAUACAGCUCCCUGCAAACAUAGCCAAUUGCGGAUAUAUCCCUGCAAAAUCGAAACUCCAUAAGUUGUCCCUGCAAAAGUCCCAAGUUAUGCAGAUAUGUCCCUGCAGUUAACAUCCGUUAGUGAGCUGUUUGUUUUUUAAUAGCGAAGUCGUGAAAUGACCAUUUUACCCUCACAAAUAUAUCCCUCCAAAAGUUUUCCUCUUCCCCUUUUCUUUCUUUUCCUCUUCCGGCCGCCGGAGCGGAUGGCGGCGACGGCGCGGGUCGACCUCGCCGGCGACGAAGAAGAAGGAAGAGAAAGAAUGAGAGGAAGAAAAAAAGGGAAGAGGAAGAAGGAGAGAAAGAGGGAGAAGAAGAGAGAAGAGAAAGAUAAAGAGGGAAAGGGUUCGUCGCCGCGCGCCGCCGCCGGAUCUUCUCCCUCGCCGGCGACGAAGAAGAGGGAAGAAGAAGAGGAAGAGGGAAAGAAAGAGGGAGAGGAAGAAGAAGAGGGAGAGGAAGAGGGUUCGCCGCCGCCGUCGCAUUUUCUCCCUCGCCGGUGAUGAAGAAGAGGGAAGAGGAAGAGGGAGAGGAAGAAGAAGGGAGAAAAGGGAAGAGGGAGAGGAAGAAGGAGGAAAAGAAAGAGAGAGGGUUCGCCGUCGCCGCCGUCGUCGCUGCCGUCGCUGCCGCUGUCGCCCUCGCCGGCGACGAAGAAGAGGGAAGAAGAAGAGGAGGAAGAAGAAGGGUAGAACCGUAAAUUCACGUUAUAAUUAACCAUGGUUAAGUAUUUUAACCGUGGUUAAUAAAAAUUUUCUAACAGAUCUGGACGGCAGGGACAUAUCUGCAUAACUUUAGACUUUUGCGGGGAUAACUUAUGGAGUUUUCGUUUUGCAGGGAUAUUUCUGCAAUUCACUAUGUUUGCAGGGACGUGUAUGCAAAUAACCCUAAUAUUAAUAUCUAAGUAUUAUUACAAAGAUAUAAUACUUAUAUUUGUAUAAGUAUUAUUUAAAUGAGAGAAAUGUUAUUCAUAUCACUGAAAUUUAAUCGUAAAUAUUACACGCACUACAGGAAGCUUUAUAUGACAUUUAUAGAUUUUUAUUUUUAAAUUGUUAAUAUUAAAAAGAAUAUAAAAGUAGGAUAAAAUUAGUAUAAAAAAUAGAUCUUUAGAUAAAAAGAACAUCAAAUUUAAGAAACGUUUGGUUGGGCUUAAAUGUUAAAUGCAAGCAAUUAGUGCAUAUAUAUUUCUUUUUUUAUUAGAUGUUAUAAAUAAUAUUGUAACUAUAAAUUAUUUGCUUAGUUACAUACGGUUGAAAAAUAUAUUAAUAAUAUUUUAUUAUUAUUAUUAUUUUGUCUCACAAGUGGAUGGUUGCAUUAUAAAAAUAAAUAAAAAGUAGGCAAAUGGAUAAAAGGCCAAAAAAGAGAGGAAAAAAAAAAAAAAGAAAAAGGAAAACAGUGCGCAGUUUGUACCGACUCACCUGGUUGCGCAGUUCAAAUGCGAGGCUUGUCUUAAAACAAUGGAAAAAUUGGGGGACAUUGGGACGUGCUUAUUAGUUUCAGGAGCACAUUUUUGCAGGUAGUGUCCCAAACCUCUUACUUAUUCAAAUUUNUUUGUAUAAAAAAUUCAAGUUUUGAAUUUUUGUAAACUGAAUUGUCUUUUUCAAUUUUACAGAUUUAGACCGAUUUUUUAGAAAAUUGUUCAAAAUACUUUUAUUUCUUUCUCUCUCUCCUUUUUUUUCUCUCGUAAUUUUUUUUCCUCUCCGAAAAGAGAGACAGAGGCGGCCCGCCUCACCUUUAUCCCGGCGCUCUCGCUCGCAUCUGGGCACCAUCCGCCCUCCUCGCCUCCAACCCCACAAAAGCGCUGCCCUUUAAGAUGUCCCUCCGCGCCUCCGCCUUAUGCACCCUCACCUGCGCGCUCACCCCCCACCCUCCUCGCCUCCGGUUUCGUUGAGGCUACGCGGCGAUUCUCAAUUUUUUUAUCAAUUUUUUAAAAUUUCGGUCUGAAUCUAUAACAUCAAAAAACGAUAAUGUAAUUUUGUAAAAUUUCAAAACUGGUGGAUUUUUUAUGCAAAUUGGCCUACUUGUUAAAGUAGAACGAAAACUAGUGCUGCUAUAAAUAUCUCACAUAAUAAUAUCUAAUAAUAUCUUAUCUAUACAACUAAUAAAAGGCGAACCCUCAACCCGCCACGCGUCGCCUCCGCAGCGAACCCCGCCCUGCAGUGGGCUCCCCGCGUUUUGCGGGUGCCUCGGGCGCGAGAGAGAGAGGGAGAGAGAGAACAGAGGGAGGAGAGAGAGAGAGAGCGCACAGAGAGAGGGGGAGAGAGAGAACAGAGGGAGAGAGAGAGAGCAGAGUAGAAGGAGAGAGAGAGAGAGAGCUCAGUCUCUCUCUCCCUCUCUCUGCUCGCGUGCGCCCGCGAGAGGGGACCCGCGCACAUGGUAGGCCCCCCCCGGCUCUCUCUCUCUCUUUCUCUUUCUCUCUCUCUCCCUCUCUCCACCCCCAUCCCCCGGUGCCCUCCCCCUCUCUCUCUCUCCGCGCGAGAGGGCCCACGUGCGCGUGACCCGCGCCCGACGGGUGCGGGUCGCCCGGAGGGGUUCCCGGCCCGCGCCCCCCGCGCGCGUGCUUCCCCCUCCUCCUCCUCUUUACCUCCCCUCCCCCUCCACGGUUCUCUCCCACUCUCCCCCCCCCCCCUUUCUCUCUCUCUCUUCCUCUCCCAGCGGGCCUGCAGUAGGAGUCGUGGGUCGACGGUAGCGGGCGGCUGAGCCCGGGCGGGCGGCAGUGGGGCGGCGCGCGCGGGGCGCGGCGAGCCGGCGCGAGCGGCGGGCGAGCGGGGCGCGGAGCGAGCCGGCGCAGGCGUGGCGGGCGAGCGGCAGGGCGCGCGGGCGAGCGGGCGGGGGCGCGAGCGGGCGCGCGGCGCGGGCGAUGCUGCGGGGGGCGAGCGGGCGCGCGGGGCGCGGCGAGCUGGCGGCGAGCCGCGCGGGCGAGCGGGCGAGCUGGCGCGGGCGCGAGGCGGGGUUUUUUUUUUUUUUUUUUUUGCUUUUUCCAUGUGGAUCCACUCUCCCCCCUCUCUCUCCUCUCUCUCUCUCCUUCUCCUUUUUUUCCUUUCUAACGUCCACUUCUCUCUUUCGUCUCUCUCUCUCUCUCUCCCUUUCUUUUUUUUUCCCUUUCUACAUAUUGCCACUCCUCUCUCUCUCUCUCUUCUCUCUCUCUCUUUUUCCCUUUUCUACUAACUUUUUUUUUCCGUUAUUUUGCAGUAUUGUGACUCACAUCCAAAAAAUAAAAAUUUACACUUAAAUUUUAAAUUAAAAUUAAAAUUAAAAUAAAAAUUUUAAAUCGAAUCUCUUAUUUUGAUGGAUUGCGGGCGAGCGGGAGCGGGCGCGAACCAGCGUGGAGCGGGCUUUUUUUUAUACUUUUUCCUGUGGGACCCACAAAAUUUAAAAAAAUAAAUAUAAAUUUAAGUUACAUAAAAAAAAUAAAAAUAAAAAUUUUAAUUUUAAAUAUAAAUUAAAAUUUAAAUUUAAAUUUUAAAUCGAAUCUCUUAUUUUGAUGGAUCGCGAGCGGGAACUAGCGCGAGCCGACGCGGAGCGGGCUUUUUUUUUUGCUUUUUCCCUGUGGAACCCACAAAAUUUUAAAAAAAUUAAAUAUAAAUUUAAAUUUUAAACUGAAUCUCUUCUUAACAGAAAUUAAAAUUUUGUACUUUAAUUUAACAUUUUAAAUUUAAAAUAUAAAUCUAUAUCUAUAUAUCCUUUUAAUCGGGAAUCCUACGCCGGUACGGCCGGACUCUCUGCGUUUCGAAUUUUAAACAACUCAGGUAAAGAAGACAACUCAAAAGAAUUAUCAUUUGAUUCUAUUAAUGUGUUAUGUUUACAAUUUUAAUUUAGAUCUUAAAAUAAAAAAAUUAAACAAGUUUGUUCAAAAUAUUUGGUAAAUUACGUAAAUUUUCCGCCGCGAAGCGCGGGUCUUCACUAGUAUUAUUAAUAUAUGAACAAAUCCAUAUGUGCAUAGUCCAAUCAAUGACACUGUUGGUGACCAAAGCAUAUCUCAAUGAGGAAAAGUGUUAGCUUCACACGGAAUUUGAUUCUGGUAUAUUUUUUCUAUCCCAAACACCAAGUAGAAUAUAACGAACACCAAACACCAAACACCAAACACCAACACGUGUAUUAUUAUCAAUUUUAUAUUUCCACGUGUUCUGGGCCAUAUGCGAAGGCUAAAAAUAUCUACUUGGCUCAUGGGUGACACUAGAAAUUAUUGGGUGAAACUGGUCUAUGCUCCUUUUUUCUUUUUUUUUUUAACAUAAAUUCAAAUUAGAAAGAGUAAUUAUUUCUCAAUUAUUUUUAAAAGGAUAUUUGCCAGGCAUACUUCCUCAAAGUGAAAAUGUCGCAUAUUUACCCUUCUAAAUUUUAAAAUAUUUCUUAUUUUGUAAAUUUUAAAUUUUAAACUAUAUUUCUGAAGCGAUCAACGCUUUAAUGAUUAAUAAUGACAAUCACAGCAAUAUUUAUAAGAGAGAGAUCAAUUUAUGUUGCUUUCUAUUAGGAAACCAAGAGUAUUUAUUUUGCUUUAAUAAUAGGGAAAACUUCAAAAACCCCCCUUGUGGUUUCGUAGUUUCUCACUUUGCCCCCCUGUGGUUUAAAAUGUAUCAAUUUGCCCCCCUGUGGUUUCUUUUUUCUCUUUUUCUUAUCAAUUUUAUUAUUUUUUUUUUAAAUCAGUUAUAAAGUUAAAAUUAAAGGGUACUAAAGUGAAUAUUUGAUAAAUCUAGAUGGGUAUCUGAAGUUUUUUGUGUAUAAUUUAAUUAAAUAUUAACGAAAAAGCAACCGAAAAGAUAAAAACGAAACCACAAAGGGACAAUUUGAUACAUUUUAAACCACAGGGGGGCAAAGUGAGAAACUAUGAAACCACAGGGGGGGUUUCUGAAGUUUUCCCUUAAUAAUAAAAUCGAUAAAGGUAAAAUAAUCUUUUUAGGUAAACUAUGAUAUCUUUUGAUAUAUUUAUAAAUUUUUAAAGUUUACAUACAUAUAUAUUUUUCUAACUUUGUAAUAGUAUAUUUCUAUUUAUUUUGUUUUCUACUAUACUACCAGUACAUGACUAAGAGGAAGGAUAUGACCAAUUACUUUAAACAAAAAUACUACAUAAUCUUUUUCUCUUUAAUCCUAUCAUCUAUGCGUCCAAAAACAAUAAUUUAUCUGUUGAACUUGUCACAUUUUUGUUCGGCCAAACUUAUCCUAUUAUCGCUCAACUUCAAUUAGACUAUAUAGAAGAAAACAAAAAAAAAAGAAAAUGAAAAAAAAACAAAAAGGUGUAGGGUGUGAAAGUGCCUAAUGGAGCCAUUAAACUUUCUACUAGUGUUAGGUGUAGUAGUUACUGCUUUUAUAACUCUGCACACAUUAAUCAACAUAGAGAUUUUAUUUUCUUUGAAUCUUUUAAUGCCAAACAGAUUUUACUUAGAACAGCAGAAACUUUUUGAUAUAUAUACUAUUUUUACAUCUAAAAAAGUCGUCAGCACGGAUACCUUUUAUUGAACUUUUCAAACUUAUUGACAGCUACUCGUGUAACAAUCACUGACUCCAUGGUUGUUAAAUUAGAGAAAAAUUAUAUUAAGCAUGUUGAAGCCAAUUUUUUUAAGCCAAAAUUUUUAUAUUAACACUCAAACUUUUGAGUGGAGAUUUAACAUUUAAUUAAUUAAAAAAAAUAAAAUGUUUUUUAAUCAUCAUUUGCUAAUAAAGAAAAUUAUUGCUCACAAUCUGCGCAUUCAUACACCACGCAUCGACCGACAUGGGAUUGUGUUUUUCAUUCCAACUUAGAAGUACAGUUUAAACUUUGUACAUAUAAGAGAAAUUAUUACUUGCGCCAAAUCUAUAAUUUAAAUAUGAUACACUACUAAAAUUACAUCAGAAUCUAAAUUAUUAGAUGUGCUUUAUAACAUUUAAAUUUUUUUAUAUUAGAAAAUUUAAUUUUUCUAUAUUGUUGAUUUUUCGGAGUACAAUUUUUAAAUAAUGAGCAUGCGGUGUACGGAGUGUAAGUGUACACCCGGUGCAGGCAUAAACUAAUUCAACAACUGUUUUUUUUUUUAUAUAUAUUUUUUUCUUAUUCCGCUUCGCCGCGUGCGGUUAAUGUUCCCAAUCUCGUUUGGUUUUCUCACGUCGGCUCCCGGAGAGAGCGCCACGUGUCAUGUACGAUGAUAGAGGAUUAAGCGAACGUGAAUCCGCAUAGAGAGAGCCGUGUGGAAAUUAACCGCGCCGCGUUGGUUGGUGGGACCGCCACGUGGUCAAAGUUUGUGCGUCCACGCGGCGGGUUCGGAUUGGGCCAAAUUGGACGGGCGUGGUCAAAGCAACGCGAGGAUGCGAAAGCGCUACGAAAACGUUAUAUAAUAAUUGGAAAUAAAAAUGUGGAAGAUACAAAUAAAAUUGUAUUUAUAUUUCAUAGUUACUUGUUUUCAUUGUUAUAAUCAUAUAAAAAAAUUUAACUAUAGCAGUUGAAAUUAUAUACACAUUGGUUGUAGUUUCAACUGUUCGAAAUUAUUUUCGAUUGUAAAACCUAAAUAUCCACUUAUGUUAGUACACCAAAUUCGCACGUAACUCUAUUUUCUAAAAAGUACUAUAAUUGACCUCGCCGUGGGUGACGUCGAAGUUAUUUAUGAGAGAGAAAAAAAUACAAAAUAAAAAAAAUAGUUGUUGUAAUUUUUUUAUCUUUUUAUGUGCUAGUGCCUAUUGCCUAGUGUGUAAAAUUUUAGUAAUAUAUAUAUAAAACAGUGUUAUUAUUACAGUUUCGAAUCUAUUAACUUCCUAUCAAAUAAAUAGCAUUUUAAAAACAAAUUCUCUCAAAUUUUAGUCCAGUUAUAUGUUAUUUUAAUAUAAAGAUCAUUUACGGACAAACAAACAAACCCUAAACAGGAUUUCUUUUCUACACCCUUCUUUGCCAUAAUCAAUUUUACUUGUUUUAUUUUAAAAAUAUAAAAUGGACUGGUCGCCAGGAAACAAACACACUCUUCUGUACCCUUCUCAUAAAAAAAAAAAAGAAAAAAAAUCAUAUUAUCAAAUUAUUAAAUAUUAAAAAAAAUAUUUUUGGUGCUCAUUUAAGUAUAAUAAAGCUAAAGGACCAUAAGUAGUUAAUGUUACUAAAGGCAAUGGUAAUAGUUAAUACUACUACGCAAAACAGUAUUAGAGUGAAAGUAUAUAUAAUAAUUGAUCCAUAGCUAUAUAUACAAUAUGAUAUUACGUAUAAAAAUAAUAAAAUAUUUUUCAUCAUAAAUUUCAAACAUAGUCUUUUCUAAAAAAAAUACAAUAAAAAUUUAUAAUUUUUUUUUAAAUUUUUUUUAGAGGUUUAAAAAGAUUACUUUUAUAAAGUUUUAUUCUUUAUCCAUAGUGGUGAUGUAGUCCUGAGAUCAAAUUUGGCACCAUGCCCUUGUCACUUUUUAUUAUUCCACAUUAUGCAUAUUCUCAUCCAUUUCUCAUGUUCUAAACUUUUAUAAUAAGUGUGUAGGACCCUGAUCCAUUGUACCAUUCCACAUUAGUCCUUUUCUAGGCAUUUUAUAAUAAAUGGUUGGGGCCCUGAUCCAUUAUUUUAUCUUUGGGGAUGCAUGGUACUUGUUUAUCAUAUUUAUUUUUUGCUAAAUUAUAAAAAUUUUCUAUAAAUAUUCAUUUUUGUACUUUCUCUUCUCUACUUUUUAAAAAUUUAUAUUUUGUCUUCUUAAAAUUUUAAAAAUAUUUUCGAAAGAUACGACGUUAACAGAGAGGGCAAAAUGAGCAAAUUGUCCUAACUUCUUCUAUAAAUUUUUUUUUUCUUAAUAUAUAUUUGUCAUUUUGAAUGGUAUUUACAGUAUAAAUUAUAAAAAAUGGACGGAAUAAUGAUGGAACUGAAUGGAGGGGGACUAAAUGCAAUGAUUUGAAAUGUUGAAGGAGUAAAUUAUAAAUUUUUAAAAAUUAGGAAGGAAAAGUAAAAAAUCAAGUUUUUAUAAGAAGGUUUUCUCUAAUUUAGCUUUUAUUUUAUAUGCCAAUCUACUCACACAAACAGUUAAAAGUGUCAUAUAAAUUUACCAAUAGAUUAAUAAACUACAAUUCUCUUGAAAACCAAAUAUUGAAUAUCAUUCUUGUAAGAUCACAAGAUUCAAUAAUUUAUCCUUUCCUAUCCACUAAUUUCUCAAAUUAAGAGCACGUUUGAUACCCAAGGCUACUGGCCUGAAAAAGAGUUGAAAGAAAAUAUAUAUAAAUACUACAACGUAAUCGAAUCAUUGUGAAAGAGUUGAAAGAAAAUAUAUAGUGUUAGGAUUCGUCCACUUUGGAACUUAUCUAAAAUAUUUUUAAUUCAUAUGGGAUAAGAAAUAAAUAUUUAUAAUUAUCUAUUAUAUUCCUAGUCCACUUGGGAUAAAGAAUAAAUCUAACAGAUAAAUCCUAAUCUGUUUAAAUCUCUAUCUAUCAGAGAUUUAGUUAGAAUAUGAUUAGGAUUAAUGUCUCCCUUAUGGCUUAUAAAUAUUUGAGGUAUUGNUAACAGAUAAAUCCUAAUCUGUUUAAAUCUCUAUCUAUGUGAGAUUUAGUUAGAAUAUGAUUAGGAUUAAUGUCUCCCUUAUGGCUUAUAAAUAUAUGAGGUAUUGACCAUAUACGACACACGAAAGACAACAAAAAAAAAAGAAUCAUCUCUCCAUAAAAAAUUCUUUUUUGGGUUCGCUCUAGGGCACCAUCUGAAACCCUAGAGAUUUGGGCGGUGUGCGGCGAUCGAUUCUAGUAGCCGGAUUGCAACGAGUAAGAACAACGUGCAACAAAUUGAGACAGAAUAUUGGCGGAUCAACAAGUUCGUAAAACAAGACGAGAUUCAAUCCUGAUAAUCGUAAUACAUUCCGCGAAAAAGAGGUAUAUAAAAAUCUAUAUGAUUUUUGCGAACUAUUUAUUUGGAUAUUUAAUUAUUUUAUCCAACAUAUAGAAAUACUACAAUGUAAUCGAAUCAUUGUGAUCUACGGAGAUUACCCUAUUUUAUUGUACAUAUACAAUUUUUCUGUAAUUCCAAAGCGAAUCUACAAUCAAUCCAAAGCGAAUCUACAAUCAAUCGAUCGAUCAAUGAGGAAUGCAAAUGGGCCGGACGGGCCUACUGGACCAGGAGGUCAAUGCAAAGAACGAAAAGAUUGGAUCUAACUUUUGAUCCGUAACAGUUUUUAGUACUUGAAAUUGUUUUCAGUUAGAAUAAGGCUAAGGGCACGUUUGCUAGCGAGGCUCAUCUAAUGCUAUUAGAGAAAACAAAAUUGGGGCAAAACUAUAUAGGAUAUAUAUACUUUUUCUGUUUUUCAAUGAUACCAUAAAAAAUAUAUCAUGAGCCACUCACUACGAGAAUUGGAGUUGACAUUAAAAUUAUUUUCAAAAGCGAAAAUUAUUUUCCCUCGAAAAAGUAUUUUGUGGGAAGUCAAAACAAUUGAAAAAGUCCAUUUUAAAUUAUAGAAAUUGUAUUCCAUUUGCCAUGCACAAGCAGAGCAUACACCACUAUAUACAAAAAAAAGACAAGAGAGAGAGAGAGAGAGUUCAACUCCAAAUAUUUACUUUUAUUUUCAGGCUACAAAACAACUCAUGACUCAAAAAAAAAAACAAAAGUAGAAAAAGAGAAAACCCAAAAAAGAUUUAUUAUAGAGAGAGAAAUUAACACAACUCACAGUGGAUGUUUAAUGCCCCUACUAUUCAACAUCACACACACACAUUCUCCGGGUCUGGCACUAAACUAGUCCUCCAAUAUUCAGUGGCGUCCUCCCGAUCCGAAUCCAGACCCCUGCCCCUCUCCGUACCCCGACCCGGAACCCUCUGACCCAGCAUAUGAACCAGCAUUAGACCCGGCGUAUGAGCCUGAACCCGAACCUGAACCAGACGCAGAGGCCGAACCAGAGCCGGAACCAGAACCAGAACCGGAACCAGACACCGAGCCAGAGCCCGACCCGGACCCAGAUGCAGAGCCCCCGUCACCAACACCGAGCCCAAGCCCUAGACCGAGACCGAGCCCAAGCCCUUGCCCGAGCCCCGGACCGCCGCCGAGGUUCACACUAAGAUCCUUUCGAGCUGUGGGGCGGCUUUCGGUGCUAACCAUGGCCAAGCACAAGAAGCAAAGAAGCAAAGCCAAACCAGAAGCACUUCCACAAGCCAUUUCUUACACUCUUCUUGCAAUGCUACUUCUUCAGGGAAUCCUACAAUAUUUCCCAAGUGUUGUUGACUCAAAUAGCUACAUAGGAGAGCUAUUUAUAGGCCAUUUUGUGCAUCUAAAACCAGGGGACAACACCAUGCAUGCGAAUUAUCUUCAACCGAAAGCAAAGUGCGUCAAUUAUUCUUUGUAUGCGGCCAUGAUUUGUACGUACAAAAGUUAGUGGCGCACUACUAGUUAAUGGGUUAAGAGUUAGAGAGAAAAUCACUUAGGUUGACACAUGUAUGAACAUGAGAAGGGUUGGGUUACAUUAGAGAUUGAGAUUAGUUCAGUUGAGUCACUAAAAUCUUCGGAUUUUGCACAUGGAUGUAUGCAUGAUAAAGAAUAAUUGUUUUUUGCUUUUUUUUUUUUUUAUUAGGCAAGAUAAGCUUAACACAAAAGUUAACAAAAAUGGCUAGCUAGUUCUUUGAAUUAAAUAUGAUAAGACGGAAUCGAGAAAGAAAAAAGAAAACAACUAAAGCAUACAAAUAAGUACGAGAUAAGCCUUUAAUUGUUACUUUUUAGAGUAAACAAGCUAUUUCAAAAGCUAUACUAAACAAGCACUUAGUUUUAAUUCUUAACUAUUACAUACUCUUUAGAGUAAACAAGCUAGUGCAAAAGGCUAGCGCUACACUAAACAAGCACGCACUUUAAAUAGAGUUUAGACAUAUGGAAUAAAAGAAGUUUGGCUUAGCUAGAGGCAUGUAUAAAAAUCCCUACGAAAAAAAAAAAAAUUCUAAAAUGUCAAUUACAUGGGUAGUAACAAAGCAUUAGAGAACCACAUGUAGUGAUCUUAUUGCCUUUCUUUUUGGACCAUGCAUGGGUUCUUUAGUGAGGUGGGCAUGAAGUUUGAAUUAAGCUUUAUAGCAUGUUAUGAUGACACAACCACGAUAGAUUUCUCAACUACUCCCACUUCUUGUUGGCAUCAUCAUGCGUGCAUGAAACUUCUAAAAUUUCUUCUUCAUCAAACUUCUUAGUUUGGCGACAAUUCGAGAGUAAGGCUUCAUUUAGAAUUGCAGAAAAUAUAAUAUAUUAUGUGCAAUAGAAAAAUGUAGGGUAAAAUAUAUUACGUGUUUUUAUAAAAGAAUAAUAUGCAUAUAUAUAGAUCACAUAGAUUCAGUUAAGGUAUAAUUCCCGUGACUUGAUUGGAAAAAAUGAUUAAUAUAGGUUUAUGUAAUUUUUUUACCAAUUUGUUUAAUCUAAUAUCACUAAAUAGCCUCUCUAGCAAAUUAUUCCUCUUACUAGUGAAAGAUUUAUAAAUUAACAAAAAACAAAGGUAAAUUGAAGGGUUUACAUAAGUAUUUUGAUUCAAAUUCCGUGGCUUGGUGUCUGUUUGGCCCAAAUAUAGGGAGUAAAUUAAUUUAGAGAUGCAAAUAGAUCCGAGUUAGCUAAACUCUCAUCCAGAUCCAUUUUGAGUGGGGCGUAAGUGAGGGCUAAAAAUAAAGAGAAAAAAACUGCUCUGAGUCCGUCUUGAUCCGCUAAAGAAGUGGAGCAAAAGGCGGGGGACUCCUUCCUUCCCUUAAUUAAUCUCUCCCGAUCCACUAAAAAUUCACUUCCACUCUGAUCCAUCUCGAAUAAAACAGUAAAUCAGAAUAAAAUAUAAGAUAAAAAUUAAUCAAUCCGUCUUGAAUCUACGCCAAUCCACCAAAAAAAUAAGGAUCGUAGAGGAAGUCUACUAUGUAACACUUAUACCACAUCAUCACCACAUCAUCUAUCUCCAGCCAAUUAUAUUUCUCUUUUUGAGAAAAGUACAAUAAAAAUAUUUUUCUGAAAGCUAUAAUGGGAUAGGUGAACUACAUGAGAGCUUUUUAAUUGAUUGGGGGCACCAUGUCAAUAAUAUAAGCGUUGUAUUCUAAAAUUUUUGUCUAGAUCCUCUUCCUCUACAUUUCUAGAAGUAAUGAUGGUGAUAAAAAUAUUAUUUAAAUAGUAUUCAUAGGAAAAGCCAAAACCACAAUUUAGUUUGAAAUAUACUUUCUAAAUACAGCUAUUUUAAAGCUUUAUAACCCUACUUCUCCAUUGCUAAAUACAUAAUUGAAUCACUUCCCGGAAGGAGACUUCCACCACCAUCUUAAUGUAUUGUAUUCAAAUUUCUUUGGACCUCUAAAGCAUCAAAACAAUGGCUUUUUAGAAACGUAAAGAAAAUACAUUUCUAAACUAAACUUUAAUUUUGACACGUGUACAGAAAUAUAAAGACCAAGAGCUCUAGUAAUAAUAACCGGACUUAAGUAUUUUAAACUAUUGGUUUGAACUCAACAAGUUAUUGUUAUUAGUUGGUUAGAUAGUUACAGCAAUUACCUUUCAUAUGGUUUGACGGUUGUCAUCAUCAUUAUAUAGUAGGGGAGAUUAGAAAUCGUAUUUCUAACUAAACCAAAGCAUCUAUAAGCUAUAUUAACUCUAUCUAUAAGCUAUAUUAAUUCUAUCUAGGUUUUGUUAGAUUGAUCUAUUCAAUGAUUAGUUUGAUUUUCGUAUUUUUCGUCGGUUCGAUCUAAUCUUAAGGAUUAACAGAAUAGCACGAUUCUCUCUGUGUGUGUUUAACGGCCACUUUAGAAGGUUUUUCUAUCCCUAUUGGAUAGAUGUACAAAUUUUCAUUACGUACACCCGGUGCACUAUGUAAGCCGUGCGCCAGUGGUUAAGGUGUUAAAUAUACUUAAAUUAAUUGGAUAAGGGCAAUUAGAUUGUAGGUUAUAUAUCUAUUCAAAUUUGAGCCAUUUAAAUGUGAAAAAUUCUUUGAUUUAACUUUUGAACGUGUCUUUUUCUAUAUGUGCAUUGUAAAUGUUUGAUCAUGCCCUAAGUUGUUUAAUUUGAAAUUAGAGCCUUUUGAGGUUGAUUUUUAUAAUCUAUACUACUUAUAAAAGAUGGAGUUUUUAAAUUUUUUUCUUUCCCAAAAUAUCGGUCCCUAUUAAUAUAGUAGUGUAGAUUAAAAAUUUUAAAACUCUCUCUUUUAUAAGUGGUAUAGAUUAUAAAAAUCAACCUCAAAAGGCUCUAAUUUCAAAUUAAACAAAUUAGGGCAUGAUCAAACAUUUACAAUGCACAUAUAGAAAAAGACAUGUUUAAAAGUUAAAUCAAAGAAUUUUUCACAUUUAAAUGGCUCAAAUUUGAAUAGAUCUAUAACCUACGAUCUAAUUGCCCUUAUCCAUUUAAUUUAAAUAUAUUUAACACCUUAACCACUGGCGCACGGCUUACAUGGUGCACCGGGUGUGCGUAAUGAAAAUUUGUACACCUAUCCAAUAGGGAUAGAAGAACCUUCUAAAGUGGCGGUUAAACACACACAGAGAGAAUUGUGCUAUUCUGUUAAUCCUUAAGAUUAGAUGGAACAGGCGAAAAAUACGGAAAUCAAACUAAUCAUUGAAAAGAUCAAUCCAACAAAAAUAUCCAGCUCCCAAAAUGCUCUACUAUAUCUACCCAAAAAUCUCCCCCCAACACUACCCCUAUAGUAUGAGCACUCCACCCCCCUCCUCUUCCGCUACCGCGCCCUCUCCUCCUCCCUUUCCUCCCCAAAUGAAGCGCAUCCUACGCCUUCUCGCCGUCCUCGCCUCCUUCGUCUCCCUCCCCGCACUCGCAUGCGGCGUGUGGCUCCUCGUGACCCGUGACUACGACUGCGAGGACCUGCUUGUGACGAGCGGCAUGCGCGUAGGCGUCGGGGUGGGGCUCCUCGGCAUGUUUGUCGUCAGCAAUGCAGCCGGGUACUCGACCGUGCGGAAGGGGGUGGCGCUGGCCGGGUACGCGGUGCUGGCGGUGGCGCUCGUGGUGGCACUCACCAUGGGGCUCGUGCUCGUCGGCGUGUACAAGAUGGAGGCCCGACAAGUCCCCGCCUCGCCCGGGUGGUUCCAGACGCGCCUCGCGAGCACCGGAAACUGGAAUGAGGUGAAGUCGUGCUUGUACAACAAUCGCAUCUGCAGCGACUUGGCGUACCGCACCGGCGGCCUCUCGGCGCACGAAUUCGGCAAGAUCAAGCUCUCUCCGGUUGAGGUAUUACCACGUUCUCCAUGCAUGCAUGGAACGUACGUCCAUGACUCACAUGCAAUGUUACGGUUUCGUAGUUUAGGCGCAUUUUUGGCUUAGCUUCUGCUCAAGUAUUUGUCAACUUAAUAAAUGUGAAUUGACAACUUAAAAGCUACUAUUUUUGGUACAACGAGUUGUUUUUUUCUUCUUUUUUUUUUUGCCCUUUUGUUGUUGAUUUAUUUAGAUAGAAGCAAUAAUCUGAUGCUUCUGAGUUUAGGCGCAUUUUUGGCUCAGCUUUUGCUCAAGUAUUUGUCAACAAAGUAAGCAAUGCAAGUACGAAUUUAAAACUAAAAAGUUUCUAUUUUUGGCACAACGAGUUGUUUUUUAUUUCUUUUCCCCCUUUUUGUUGAUCCAUUUAGCACCAGAGUUAGUGCUUUUCGCAACUGUAAUAUUGCUGUAGAUAUAUAGGAGUAAUGAUCUGGUGCUUCCUAUAUACUUUUUUGUAGUUUAGGCACAUUUUCACCUUAACUUCUACCCAAGUAUUUAUCAACAAGUUAUAAAUAAAUAAGCAUGAAGUUUAAACUUAGAUGCUACUAUUUUUGUCACAAAGAGUUUUUUUUUUUUUUUUCUUUUUUAUUGAUCCAUUCACCGCCAGAGUUAGUGCUUUUUGCAACUGCAAGUGCUUUUGUAAAUGAGUCUUUUACAUAUUUGUAACAUUUUGCACAAUAAAAGCAUCCUUGCCAUGCAGAAGCAUGACCAAAUAAGCCCUAAUUUUUUCUUGCGUACUAAAUCUUAAUCAUUUUUUAAAAAUUUUGUUUGGUUACGAAUAAGGCGGGAUGUUGCAAACCGCCGGACGAAUGCGGGAUGGCGUACGUGAGCGCGACCGACUGGAUAUUUGCAGAGAACAACGACUACGCAAAAUACGCCGGAGGCAAGUACAGGCCCGAUUGUCGUGCGUGGGGGAACCGAGCCGAUCAGCUGUGCUUCAACUGCGAUAUGUGCAGGGACGGGUUCGCGAAGGCCGUCACGAGUCGAUGGAGGAAGGUCGGGAUCUUCCUUAUCGUGAUUUCGGUGCUCCUGAUCGCAGUGCACGCGGCACGGUUCAUCAUCUUGAUGUCAAAGAAGUAGAAUUCAUCUUUUGUUAUAUGUUUUAGCUAUGGUACAUUUUGGCCGAAAUGUAUUGUGAUCAAUAUCAUUCAAAUUUAUGUAGGUCAUUUUUUGAAGUAGGACACUGAAGUUUAAUUUGUUCUAUUUAAAUUAGACACCUCCUCAAUUUGUUGUUUAUUUUGAUUCAUAUAUAUUAUGGGUAGAAAUUGGGUGCUAUUAGAGCACGAAAACCUCAAUGCUCCUAAACUAUUUUCGACGAUGGGACUUGCGAAUUCCUCAAUGCUCCUAAACUAUUUUCGACGAUGGGACUUGCGAAUUGACGAUCAGUUCUGUUUUACUUAAUCUAACAUAUUUGAACUAUUUAGAAAAUAAUUUUUACAGAUUUUCUCCAAUAAAUCCAUUUGCUUAUGGAGUAAAUUAGCAUGAUACCAUUUGUUAUACAAUAGAUUCGCAUUUAUAUAUUAAAAUGUUAGUAACUUAUCUACAUUUGAAUGCCAUAUAUAUUACUUAAGCUUAAUUAAGAAACUGACACCAUUAUAUAAUUAGUCUAAUACAUAAAUAUAGAAUCAUUAGUAUUUCAUAUUGAGGUGUCAAGGUAUAGUACGUUAAUGAUCAGCUCUAAUUGAUAAAAGUCUAAUUCUCUCAAUUAGUAAGAAUAUAUAAUCAUCUGUAUAGGAAGAAAGGGUAAUUGCGCUUUUCCGUAAACUAUGAGGUCCGUGACACUUAAUUUGGUCCUCAAUCUUCAAUUUGUUGCUAGCAAACUGGCUCGAAUUUUUAGAAUUAUUAUAAUCAAAUUCCAUAACUCAAUUUAAUAAGCUAAUUAAUAUUCACAAAUUAUUGACAUAGAAGUGAUAUAGUAUAUUAAUUAUUAUUACUUCAUCAAUGACAAUACUUUCACAGUAUUUCUAUAUUAAUAGUUUGUCAUAUAUUUAGUCAACAAAAUUAGAUUGUAGAAUUUAAUUGCAAUAAUUUUGAAAGUUCAAAUCAUAAAUUAUUACGAAUCAAAGUUUGAGGACCAAAUGAAAUAUACAUAUCUUAUAGUUUGGGGACCAAAACUGUAAUUUAUCCUAGAAAAAAAAAAAGUUUCAACACACCUAUACAGGUAGUAAUUAAAGUGGAUAUACACCAAAAUUUGUUAUUUUAAAUAUCUUUUAACUUUUUAUUGUUAAUAAUUUACCUAUAAUCUCUCUCUCUCCUAGUACUAUGAAUUAAAAUCUCUCUCUCUUUCUCUCUACCCUAACUAUCUCUAUAACUUCGUAAGUUACUAACAAAUUCGUGCUUAUCUAAUUAUCUAGGGUAUAUUCUAUAUAUAGUAUAUAAAAAAACAGCAACAAGCAUAAAUUUUAAAAUUUUAAAAAAUUUGAUACUUUGGAGGGAACCCGAGUUACAAUUUGUAUUUGGUAACUGUUUGACUAUAUUUUGUUCGAAAAACAAACUGUUUCAAAAUAACGACUUUUAUGCUUUGAACUAAGGCUGUUUGAUAUUAAGACCCAUCUGACGCUAUUAGAUAAAAUAGAGUUGGGAUAAAAGCAUAUGGGAUAUGCUUCUGCGUUUUUAAUGGCAUCGCAAAAAAUAUAUCGUAACCAACUCAUCGCGAUAUGCGGAACGCAAUAUUACGUACGGAAACAAACAGAACAUUUUCCUUCGUACUUUCUCACCACACGUAAUGCAAUCUUCCCACAAUCCCAAACAAAGCCUAAACUAACGUGCAUAGUAUGAAAAAAGAAAAAAAGAAAAAAAAAUCAAAGAGGGCCAUUGUGUUCGGCUGGGUAUUCGACUUGCUCUAGCUCGGAUCGUAAUUAAAUAAGCCGAGCUUGGGUUACUGGGGUCACCUGUAUUAGGCUUCAAAAGCUCAUAUAUAUAUAUAUAUAUAUAUAUAUAUAUAUAUAGAGAGAGAGAGAGAGAGAGAGAGAGAGAGAGAAAACUAGGUUGGAACACUAUCAAUAGCACCAAACUAUUGGUGCUAUUGAUUUUUUAGCCCUUAAAUUGAAAACUAGGUUGGAACACUAUCAAUAGCACCAAACUAUUGGUGCUAUUGAUUUUUUAGCCCUUAGAUUGAAAAAUGGAUGGUUAGGAUGAUGUGGGCCCCCUAGGGUUGAGUGAGUGGUUGGUUGAAUAGUAUAAUCUAACGAAUAAAAAUAAUCAUAGGGUUAAAUCUAACGGCGGAAAACUCGAUAACACCAAAUUCUUUGUGCUAUCGAUAGUACCCCAGCCGUCCGGCUAUGGUGCUUGUAAAUUUUUUACCGUUAGAUCUAUAUCUUUGAUCAUUUUCACCUGUUAGAUUAUAUUAUUCAACCAACCACCCACUCAACCCUAGGGGGCCUACAUCAUCCUAACCGCACAUUCCUUAAUCCAAGGGCCGAAAAUUUACGAGCACCAAUGACUUGGUAUUUUUAAAAGUAUAGGAGCUCAAUUCUAGCUAUAUAUAUCAAUUCAUAAACUAAUUUUCUUAGUAUUAUGCUAUGGCAUUUUAUACAUUUAUUUUGUAUAUUAAACUAUAAAAAAUAUUCUCGUGUCAAGUUCUAAAUAAUGUUCUAUGAAAAUCAAAUCGUAAAUUGCUCUAUAUCAGAAAUUUCAAAUAGCUCGUUUAGGGCUCGCAUUCGCUCGAGCUCGACUCGAAUUAAUUUUAAGCUGAGCUUUAGCUUGAAUUUAGCUCAAAACUAUUUUCAAGCCAAACUUGAGCUAAGUUAAGCUCACUCGAGCUCGACUUGCUUUCAUCCUUAAUUGCACGCAGUCAAAAAUGCAAUAAAAAAAUAUUCUAUUUAUUUCUGUAAGUGACAACUACUUAAUCAAAUAACACUUGUUCAAUUAGAAUACACUUUUUGUAGUUGCAAUGAUAAACAUUAUAAGCCUGUUUGUUUGGGUAAAAUGGAGAAGGGUGAAGUCGUUUUCGGCCAUAAACGAUUACUUCUAUUUGGUUCGCAGUAUUAAAGAUAUGAUCGAAACUCGAAUUAUCUAAAACAGUAUAAUUGACUUUGGCCUCCCUGGGCCGAAGUCAAUUAGAGUGAAAAAAGGUGAAAAAAAUAAUAAUACAAUGGGCAAUACUAGUUAUAUUUAAAUAUAUUUAAUUGUAUAUGGUACUUAUUACUCUUUUAAUUUAAAAUAUGAUAAAAUUUGAUUAAUUAAGUUUUAGUAUUUUUUUAAUUUAGUUUGUAUAUUUAAAAUGCAAUGAAAAUUGCUUAGUUAAGUAUUAAUUUUUUUCUACUUUAUAAUUUUAUUAUUGUAUUAUUAUAAUUUGUGUAUAAAAAAUAAUUUAGUUGUUUCAGAUUAAAUUUUUUAAUUAUAUAAGAAUAUAAUUACAUUAUUUUUAUUUAUUAAAUAAUAAUUUAUUAUUUAUUAAGUUAUUUACACUACAAUAAAAACGGUAUAUAGCGACACUUUUAAAUAUCGAUAUAGGUUAAAAAAAAAUGCUGCUGGCUAAAUUACCGACACUUUUUAAAAGUGUUGCUAAAUGUGGGGUCGCUAUAUGUGAGGCCACCAUAAUGUUUGGCACCCACUCCUCCAGCGACCCGUGGCGGAGGAACACAUGGCGACAGUAAUCCUCUACGGUCCCUGCGAGAUUCUCACGGCCGAACUCCAGCCACCGGAACCCUAUCUCGUCGGCUGCGGUGGCGGAGGAGAAGUGGAAAUGAUGAUUAAUUUUUCUUUUUCUUUUUUUUACUUUUCUAUUUGUAAUUGGGCCCGAGUGGGGUGGAUGGAAUUGGUUGAGUAGAGGAACUUUUUAUUUUUGAUUAGAUUGGACUUUAUAUUUAGGACUUAAUAGAUUUUUUUAAAAAGUUUUGGCAUAAAUGGGACACUUAUACAAAAGUGUCCCAAAAAUGUAUCCCUAUAAUCUAAUUCUGUUGUAGUGUUAUUAUUUAUAUAUAAAUUAUUGUUUUAUAUUAUGCAAUUUCUGCCAAACAAACAGUAGAACAGAAAAAAUUUUACUUUCAUAGCUAUGAAAACAAACAGUGAGAGAAAAGUAAUUUUCACCGAACUUCACUUUAACUCAAAAUUCAGUUUCAGUGAAACAAACAGGGUCUAUGCGACAGGCUCUAAGUUAUGAGAUGGCCCAUUCGACAUUACAAGUCAAAUGAUCCACACACACACUACGCAUUACGUUCUAGUGCGUGGGUCCAAAUGAUAAAAAGGGCCCUUUUAACGUGUCACAAGCAAUAAAAAAACUAAGCCAUCAAAAUUGCUCCACUAUAGAAAAAUUCAAUAUCCUCCACAAGUUUUUUUGCCACGCUAACCCAGUUUACUUUUUUAGUGUACCAAUUCAAAUCCCUCAACCAACUCAAACACUUGCAUAUGACUCGUUUUUGAAGCAUAUUUAUUGCUCCUUAAUUUCUCACAAUCCAUAACAUAGAGAUCAUAAAACAAAUAUACAGUGUCACUUCAUAAACAUGGCUUAUGUGAAAGGUGUUUUAGCCAUUGCUAUUUUCGUCGUGGCUUCUUGUGUUAUACAUGUCGAGAGUCGGGUCGCGAGGAAAGGCCUAGGCAUAAGCAUCGGUGAUGGCGGCGGAGUCGGUAUCGGUGCCGGAACAGGAAUCAGUGUGGGCAUAGGAGAUGGUAGUGCCUCCGGUUCUGGUUCGGGCUCAGGGUCUGCAUCCGGGUCUAGUUCUGGCUCUGGUUCCGGAGCUAGCUCAUCUGCCGGUUCGGGUGCUGGUUCAUCUGCUGGAUCAGGUGGAUCGUAUGCUGGGUCCGGUGCAGGGUCCGGCGUUGGUUCGGGCUCGGAACACGGUCAAGCGCACGGAUCGGGCCAAGGGCAAGGGUUAGGUUCGGGUUCAGGUUCGGGUUCAGGGCAUGGUGAAGGCUACGGAGAGGGUUAUGGCUCGGGUGAGGAUUCUGGGUCAGGUUCAGGUCAUGGUGAAGGAUACGGGGAAGGUUACGGGUCAGGGUCAGGGUCCGGGUCGGGUAACGGUUCUGGAUAUGGUUAUGGCGAAGGGCGCGGAUAUGGAUCUGGAAAUGGUAGUGGAAAUGGUAAAUACUAAAUAGAGGCCUAAGUUUACCAUCCUAGUUUUUGGGCCACCUCUAUGUACUUAUAAAUAAUGAGAUGGUGAAUAAAAAUAAAUAGUUAGUGAGUUACCCCAAUAAUUUAAUUACUUUGGAACAAAUUUAUAUAUUGCAUGAUAUUAACAUGAUGAAUCAACAUAAUGAAUAUCAUUAUAUUCUUCAACAGAAACUGCUUUAAUUGUGAUCCUCUUCACUUUCAAUUUUUCAGACUUAGAUGAUUGUAGUUACAAAAGCUAAAAAAAUUUAUCAAAUUAAUUAAUAAUUAUAUCAGAUAUAAGAGUUUUAGUUACUUUUCGGCACAUAAAAUGGGAACAGUUAAAUAGCUAAUAGCGUCAUUAACUUAAAUAAUUUAAUAUUCUUAGUCGAUACACUACAACAGAAUUAGGUUAUAGCGAUACAUGUUUAGGACACUUUUGUAUAAGUAUCACAUUUAUGCCAAAACUUAAAAAAAAUCCUACUAAUGCCUAAAUAUAAAGUCCAAUCCAACUAAAAAUAAAAGGGUACUCUACUCAACCCACUCCACUUAGCCUAUUCGGCCCGAUUACAAACAAAAAAGAAAAAGAAAAGAAAAAGAAAAGAAAAAUCAAUUAUCAUUUUCCCUUCUCCCCUCACUCAAUCGACUGAAAUCCUAGACGAAGAUCAUUUCCUCUCGUCCUCCUCUGCCACCGCAGCCAACGAGGUAGAGUUCCGGCGGUUGCUAAAUGCUUAAAUAAAUGUUGGUAAAUUAGCAGCACUCUUUUAGAUUAUAGCAACACUCUUUAACUGUCACUAUAUAUCUAGCGACUCCACAUAUAGCAACACUUUUCAAAAGUGUCGGUAAAUUUAGCCAGCAGCACUUUUUUGAUCUAUACCGAUAUUUAAAAGUGUCGCUAUAGACCGUUUUUGUUGUAGUGAUACUACGGAAAGAAAUAGUAAGUUUGAAUCUCUCCCGACUCCUUGUGAUUCUUUAGUACAAUUUAUAUGCGUACAAUAUUUGAAUAAAAUUUGAUCAGAGUACAAAAGUAAGUUUCAUUAAAAGAAUAAAUAAACACAAUAUUGUACACAUAAUAAUGUUUCUGAGAUCUGAUUCAUCAGAACACUCCUUAUUUAUAAUCUGAGUCCUAUGCUUAUAAAUUGGAUAGUCACGCAUUUUCCAAGCUCACAUGUCAGUGUUCGGUACAUUAAAUAAUUGUAAUUUAUUCAGAAUUAAGCAUAUAUAAAUAAGAGUACAAAUUAUAAUAAUAGUAGUAAUAAAUAACAUUAAAGUUCAAAACACCAAGUUAUACUCAACAAUAAAAACCUUAUUUUAUUCUGAAAUGGACACCCUUUAGCUUUUUUUUAAAAUUUGAAUUUUUAUAGUUAAUCAAGUUAAAAUAUUUGUUAAAUUUCAUAGAUCAAUUAGCUAUUAGCAGUUUGUUAUUCUAUUUUUUUUAAUUUAAACAAUUUUAAUAGAACUAUCAGCCAAUUCGGUAAAAUUUUAAUUUAUUUGGCCAAACUAAUUCAAAUUUUUUUUAAAACAUAAAAUGUUCAGAAAAUCUAAAUAAAGCAAAUAGUAAUUCAGAGAGCUAUUUCAAAAUGGCUUAUAUAUUUUCUGAACAUGUGUGUAACACCUGCUAAAAUUAAAAGUUAAAAAGAUCUCAUCAAUAGAUUAAAAAUAUAGUAGUAACUCAGAGGACUAUUUCAAAACCCCUAUAUUAAAAAUAUAGGGGUUCUGGAUCCAACGCAAACCUAUAUGAGCUUGAGAAUGUGAUAUAUAUGAAACUCAGUCAAACUAAAAGUUUAAACUUAUUAGGUUUGAACUCAUUAGUAGAUAUCAAUUUUUUACUCCUUUGUUAAGCGAACUCACUCAUUUGAGAUCAUGCGCUUUUUAAGUUGCGUUAUUCUGCUAUUCAUCAGAGCUCAUGCACCUGACCCGCGCCUUUCUGGUCCAACCAUAUUGAAUGCAUUAACCAUCUAAACGCAUGCGCCUAACCCAUGCCUCUCAAACCAAUUCGUUUUGGGGGGUGCCAAACCGUCAUAUCACGUAUUGUGACUUCUCUCAGCGAACAUGUCAUAUUCGUAAGAGCCACUCACUAACUUGAUCGCAAGUUUAAGCCUAUCAGGCUUGAACCCAUCAGUAUUCUUUACUCAUUUGUUAAGCGAACUCACUUAUCUGAGACUAUGCACUUUUUAAUCUGCGCCAUUCAAGAACUCAUCCGAGGCCAUGCACUUAG
Molecule: long non-coding RNA, 88019 nt
Filed under: Ananas comosus (pineapple)
Lineage: Eukaryota; Viridiplantae; Streptophyta; Magnoliopsida; Poales; Bromeliaceae
Description: long non-coding RNA (ACOM_LNC002858)
Source: RNAcentral